GAGGGGUGCAAACUCGGUACAAGAAUUUUCCCAUGGUUUUAAUUGGUUGACAAACAACACCUCUAUUUCAUAUUGUAGCUUCCCGAUUUUUAGAGCAUUUUAAACAUACCAAAGUGUUUUGGCUGCUCCCACGGGAAGUCGAACCCGGGUCUACUGGGUGCUAAUCAGGUACUCUGACUAUUAGGCUAGAGGUCCUUUCGCUAAGCAUACCAAAGUUUUGAGGUUUUUUAUUUUUUUCUACAAACUAACUGAUGAUCUUUAUUUUAUGAACUAGGAAAUAUUAAAACCAUAUUAUAAUUUAAAAACUUGCAAGAAAAUCUCACAUUUGUGUUGCAUUUGUUUGCCUCCUUUCUAAACCCUAGAUUCCAUGUAAUCUUUUCCUUAGCUUAAAUUUGGAUUCUAUUCGAAUUUAAAUCUUCCAAGCAAACAACAAAAACUAUCUCUAAAUCCCAUUUCUGGCACUGGGCCAAAAAUCCAUCCACUUUCAUUUGAUCCACAAUAUUUUCUUCUUUUCUCUUUUUCCCGGCCCAGCUCCAAUCCACCAGCCUGCUCAUCCAUCUGGUCCAACUGUGUCUUGUCUUCACCAGUCCUUUGCAUCUCCUUUGGUUCAACACCCCCCCCCCCAACCACACACACAUGCAGUAAGAAUGGCGUUGUCACCAAGUUAUACCGACGCACUACAUCCUCCCUCUCAUCUUCCUCGAUAGUCCGCACCAGGUUGUCAUGAACUUGACUUGCACUGCUCCCCUCCAACGCUUCGCACCAUAAAUAUGCCCGGACGGCACCAUGAAGAACAAUCGGUGGGUCCCCUCACCCUCACUUUUCCUUUCGCUAGCUACAAGAAAAACCUCCUCUAGAUACGUUUUCUUUGCUACGUUUUUGAAAGCAUGUCUACAUGUUAAGCGGUUCCAGUACUAGAAACGUUUGUUGACACGUUAUCAAGAAAACGUAUACAUCUUCAGAGGUUUCACUACUAGAUAUGGUUGUUGACACAUUUUAAUCAAAACGUAUCUACAAAGUGCUUAACACGGUUCUUUAACACGUUUUAGAAUGCAUAAAAAUUUUCAUCGAGGCCUAAAGCGAGACCUUACAUGGGCUGGAUCGUGCAAAGUCUCAGCCCAUUAAAAUAACCCUACAGAUUAGUCUCUCACAUUGUCUCUCGUGUAAAAAAAAAACUGCACGAUCUCUCUCCCAUCCUCCUCAAGAUCACUGCCUAUUUCCGAGAUCCGGAGAGGGGCACCGUCCGGCUGGCUGCCGCUUCUUCAGGCCCGCUGACAGAUCCGUUGAUGGCAAAAGGACGGUCGCCAUCGGCCGCCGCCGCCGCCCACCGUCCAGGUCGUCAGCGCUGAUCCCUCCCUUAUUCCCCUCGCCGGCAGGCUCUUGCGAGGUGCCAUUGCAGCCAUCUUCACCACUGACUCAUCCACCAUUGACCCAGCACCUGUGUUCAGCUCCUCAUGGACACAAGGAUGGCUCCCUUCUAUAUGUCGCAGCAUUCAUCUCAGGCGCCAUGGCCCCGCGUCGACUCCAGCGUCUCUCAGUACAGAUCCCCUCGGUGAGCUUCCAAAGCAGAAGUAGAACUAGUAGUUGCUUGCUCUUGGAUCUUUUUCAGGAAUGCCACAUUUUUCUUUUGCAUUGUGUCAGACUGUUAAAGAUGAUUUAUCUGCCAAUAUCAUUGGCUGUGAAUUAAGUGUCAUAUAUAUUGAGUCAAUAAAUUUGCAGAUUUCAUACUUCACUGCCGCUGAUACCAUUGCUUUGAAAAGUUAUCAUAUAUGCUUAUAAAAAAUCAGUGCAUGGUACUAACUAUUUUCAAAAGUUUAGAUUGCUGCAUGUUUACAUAAGCAUAGCUGUUGUUCUGGCAGUAUUUGAUCAUCUACGAAUCACUGUCUUUGUGUUUUUAUUCAUUUUUCUUUUGAUGUACAUAUGACCUAAUUUAGUGUAGAUUACAGAUUGGCUUCUUACUCUCAUGCUAUAAUAUAUAUUCUAGAUUUCUAGUCAUAUGUCAUUACACGUUAUUAGUAGGUGUUGCACCCUGAUUUGUUUUUUGUUCUUGCAACUAGGAAUCCAAUAAAAUGGGGGCAACUAAUCAUGGUUUUUUCUAUGUUCGUUUCAUUUGUGCAUAGUGAAUUUUUCUACAAGCACAAAUUGAGAUCUUGGCCUUUUUUAUUUGUUACAAUUUUUGUUUAUUAAAGAGCACUGGAACUAGAUAGGACAGCACCUUUCAUUCAGUUGCAUAUAUAUGGAUUUGGUAGCUGCUGUUUUCUUUUUUUCGAGUUCAGUUGCAUAUAUAUUGAUUAAUGUUGCUUCAUGUAUUAAUUGGUAUUGGGACUGCAGAGUAGCCAAGCUUAACACAAUUAUUCAAAUGAUUGACGUCCACAGAAAACUAUCCACAAUGACAGGUGGAGUGUGCCUUGAGACACAACUUUUUCUUUCAGUGAGCUGGAGGUCACUGUACUACUAAAUACUAAGUAUAUUUAGUAUAGGCUUUUGGUACCUUCUUUUGUUUUAUGCAUGAACAUUUUUGCAUCUUCUCCAGUAUUAGUGAUGCUUGAUUUAAUUUGUUCUUGCAAAAUAAUUUGAUAUUACCUUAGAAACAAUGGUGUUUUUUCUUCUAAAUAUAUAAUGCUAUAACUGCCUUCAUGUAUCUUUCAUGAGAAAUCGAAUUUGACAUGUCAACUUGUGUGGCUUGAAGAUUAUUAAGAAAAAAUAAGUUGGCAAAGCAGCAGUCUAACUUCAAUGGAUGGGUUUUUGGUACUCUAUCACAACUUCAUAACCUCCCAAUUCACCUAUUGUAAUUGUUGCAUGGUAAUACAUCUAUAGAUACAACAACAGCUGCCCACAAGUUUGAGGGUGCGCCUGCCCACAAGUUGCAACUACAGAUGCAACUACAGCUGCCCACAAGUCUUGUUUUUCUAGUUUUAUGUUACAUGUUAAAUACUAUGAUGUGAUCAAUAAUUUAGCUCCAAUUUACUGAUUAUGGUCUUCAAAGUAGUUGGCACAGAUCUUGUUUACUACCUCAUGUUACCAAUCCUUUUUUGUUACAGCAUGCUGCAUCUUUGUUUGACAAUUCACUUGUUCUCUAGGGGUGUGAGAUCUGCAUAUACACAAUUAGUAGCUAUAUUACUGCUAGCUCCGAGCUACUGUGGUUUAGGAGAACAUCAAGUGUGAAAUCUUUUACAAUCCAAGAUAGGAUCCAAUGGCAGCGAAAGAAACUAGAGAGGUGAAAGGCAGCUUUUGCAAAGUCAUGUUCUACAGACUUAGCUGGUAGCUUACGUUCUGUAUUUGUUUAUCAUACCAUUUGUUUACCUUUUACAAUUUCCCGGUGUGCUAUAUUUGUAAUGAUACCUUAAUGUUUCGUACUGACAAGGAAAUUUUGCUUUCCAGUAGUGAGCAUAUAUCAAAUUAUUUUAGUCAUGAGUUCUUCAUGCUGAAUGUCUUUGUCCCUGGUGCAGUAUACUUUUAAUAUAUUCCUACACAAUACACUAAUUAUUGAGAAUGGGUAUAACAAAGAAGAAAUGAAAAUGACAAAGGAGACCAACAAAUUUGGGUUAGUCCUUAUGGUCCUAUUGGUCUAAAUAACUUCCUAUGAAGUCUGCAUUACUCUGUCAAACUUUUCUCUCAUUGUGAUAAUUUGAGAAAAUAUAAUUUCCUUCUAACUGUCUGGUCCAUUGCUACAAUGACAUGGAUGUGAAAGUAACUGCGACUUGCAUACAAGUUCCUGUGAUGUACUAAUGUGUCUGCACAUGCUGAAAGUGCCAAUCUACAGUUUGAAAAGCUACUCGAUGAGGUUGGUAUCUCCAUAUGUGCUAACUAGCAUUAAAACUUAUUCUCUUUUGUCUCUGUUUGCGCUAAGUGGAUUGAUCCUUGGAAUCUGCCACUUUGUCAUUUGGAUAUGUGAUUUUAUCUGAACUUGGCUAUUUGUGAAUAUGGCAGAAAAAUAAAUUGGUUAUAUUUGUGUUGUGGUAUAAUAUUGCAACUUCUAAGCUUGUGUGGCUGUGUGUAGAAUAAGUUAGGACUUAUGAGUAUAAUAUUGCAAUCAUUAAAAAAUAAACUUCACUUCUAUCGCUAGCUAAGUCUUUUUUUCUAAAUUCAACACAGAAAUAUGUGUGGUGUUGUAUUUUCUAGAACUUUUAUAGAAUUUAAUUAUUUAUUCAUUUUGCAGGAUCAUAGAAGCAUGUCAAUAAACAUAGGUAAAGAUUGAGAAUUGAAGAGAAGUGUCUGUCUGCUUGCGCAAAGCUUUUUAAAUAGAAUUAGAACACAACGUGUAAGUUUUAAGGGAAUAUGUAAUAUCUAGAUGUAUGGGGAUGAUUAAUUUUGUUGCUGACUCUAUUGCUCUAAUAUUAAAUGAAUACAUUUCAUGUACUUUUUUAUCCGUACUAUGGUGUCCAAAGUAAAUAUGGUUACACAUGUAUUAUAUUAGAAAAUAGUUCUAGAAACUAUAUUAGGAUUGAGAAAGAAAAAUACAAAGAGCGCAUCAACUUUGCUUAAUUUAAAAUGUCUCUAUAAGAUGUAGAUACGUAAUUCACCGUCUCUGCAAAGCGUUUCAUGUCUUCUACGAGACACGCUUAGCACUGUAUUUAGAAAAUGUCUCAUGUCGGGUAGACACGCUUGUCACCGUUUCUAGAAAGCGUCUCUUAUCUUGUAGACACGUUUGACAAAACUUGUUUACAGUUCUUGACACGGUCCAUGGAGAGACGCUCCAGACACGCUUUAGUGAAGCGUAUCUAUAAUUCACUAGAGAUGAAAUAAAGCGUAUCUAACCUAAAAAUAAAACGUAUCUAAGGGGAGUGUUUCUUGUAGGGGCUCUCUGCUUCCUUCGAUAGUCCGCGUUGAACACAACACGACUUGCACCACGCCUUCCUUCAUCAUAAAGCAACACAGAUGCCAUGAACCAAGCUGAUCUCGCCCCACAUGCCAUGCCAUCACCAUGCAGCAGCAUCAUGGAAACACCCUGUUGGACCUCGCCACCAGUAAGGCAUUCGACCCCUCCCUCAAUCAUCUCCCUACAACACCUCUGUUCCUGUUUAUUCUUCACGGGCACUGAACCGAUUAGAGAGCUCGAGGAGGUUGAGGUUGAGCUCCUUUUCUCCCAAGGAAAGCUGGAGCACUAGCCUUGACGCCCGUGUAGGAUGCGCUGCUUUCCCUCCCCUCCAUUCAACACUGCCUCGAGAACCUCACCUCACGAAUGAUUGGCCAUGCCAAGCAUGCCAUAGCCCUGUGGCCUGCAGGCAGUACCUAUCCCUUGCCUCGACUACAGAUGAGCCAGACUCCCCGCCCUCUCCUUCUUUGCCUAGAAACCGAGCUCCUAGAAACUUCAAAACCCUAGCCCUACGGCCACCCAAGGCCAACCCCAUCCGCGUCCUAUCUCACUUGGACAACACCAACACAGAACACCCUAGAUCUUCUCUCCCUGCUGGAGCCCUUCUCAUCAGUGGCAGUGCGCUCCAGCUGAACAUCGGCCAACGGCAUGACGCAAGGCAAAGCUGGUGCGGUGUCGCUGUCAAUGUGUGGGUCUAACCCAUGACACCAUUGGCCCAUUGUCAUACUCCUCAUUGACAUGACAAACUAGACCACCGACUCAGCACACCCCAUGGUCCAUGUCCCCUGGACCCAGUACACUGAAGAGUUUGCACGCAUAGCGACCCCAAGCGUCAAGCCGCCAACCCAAUAAGAUUUGCUAGUACACCAAGUAAAACACAUACACGAGUUUACCCAGAUCCUUUUACUUAUAUCCAAAAAUUUCCAUACUACAAUAUUAGAAUCUUAUCCAUGUAGUAAGUCCAUUCAAUGCCCAAUAAAUCAUAAACCCAAUUUCUUAGUUCCGAGGUAUUCGGAAAUAAUUUUCUUGUGUACACAAGAAAUUUAUACAAUCCUUUCUAAUUCCAAAUAUCCUAGGAAAAUUUUAAAAAUACCCAUCUAAGCCUAUUCAUACUAUACUAUCCCGCCUUUCACACCAUCUGAGCCCUUAUUACAAUAUGAUAUCUAGAAAAUUAUAUUAGAUACAUCUUAAUUCCAUGUCAUCUGUGCUCGAUCCACACAGUGAUGCCUACUUGAUCCUCAGCAUCAUGCCGCAGCUCAUGCCAGCUGCCGUUGCUCACAAACGGUGCAUAUAGCUUGGCCAAGGCCUUGAGCACAAUCCCUAUCACUCCUCCUACUCUUAACCCAACCACCACCCCGGGUCUAUGAAUAGAGCACCCACUAGUAGAGAACUCACCUUCCAUGCGCCCCAUUUUGUCCCGGUUUAAAGUUGGUCCGGGACAAAAGGUUCACCAACCGGGACUAAAGCUCGGUCACUGGUGGGGGGCUCACCAACCGGGACCUUUUAUCCCGGUUGCAAAGGCUAGUGGAAAAAAAAGACCCUGAGAGGCCUUUUAUCCCGGUUUGAAACACCAACCGGGAUAAAAGACCCCCUUUUAUCCCGGUUGGUAUUACAACCCUUUUAUCUCGAUUUGUAAUACCAACCGGGAUAAAAGGGGGGUCUUUUAUCCCGGUUGGUGUUUCAAACCGGGAUAAAAGGGUCCCCAACGGGAUGGCUGAAAGAGGAUGAAAUCCGUCGAACCCUUUUAUCCCGGUUUGUAAUACCAACCGGGAUAAAAGGGGGUCUUUUAUCCUGGUUGGUGUUUCCAACCGGGAUAAAAGGGUCCCCCACGAGUUAAUACAAAAUGAUUGCAUCCCCUAUAUAGUUAGAUGUGUUGUGUAGGUGGGAUGGCAAGGAAGCUACACGCGAGGCUGGAGGUGUUGUGGGUUCGAAUCCCACGUAGCGCGCACGCGCAUAUUUCGCGUGAAAAAUCGCGUGACUUGUGGCUUGCGAUGUGCGCGUGUGGGGGGCCCUCCUAGGAUUUUUUUUUGCAGCGCCUGGCAUGGUGACCUAUUUUAUCCCGGUUGGUAUUACCAGCCAGGAUAAAAGGGGGUCUUUAGUCCCAGUUGAGUGACCCGGGACAAAAAAACCCCCCCUUUUGUCCCGGUUGGUUUAUCCCGGUGGAUUUUCAGGAGAUUUGCAUCCUACCAAUCGGGACUAAUACCGAGUUCUCUACCAGUGACCGCGACCCUGCUUCCACCUCGUACUUCCACUCCAUUCUGCCUUACUCCUUGAACUGAGCUUCCAAGCCAUACCCCAUUGAGCCAAGUCUUGCUAGCUCAAGACCCUGAUUGAACCUCAUAAACAAGGCAAGCACCCCCAAGAACAACCCAUAACACUCCUCCCCUCUCUCACUUCUUAAGCCCACCUAGCCCCUCCUCCAGUCGAACAUCCGCUAAUGAGCCAAUCUCCACUGGCUCAAAGCCAAAGUUGAUGUCGGUGAGGAAUAGGUGAGAUUCACAACAUGCCAGAUCCACCGCUCUGAUUCGAGCCCCAUGACCAUAUCCAUUUGCUGCUCUUGUGCAUGAUCGUCAGCCUCUGACGGCACAUCGUCAGCCUCUGACGGCACAUCUUAAUCUUCUGAAGUUCCCUAAAAAUCUUAUAAAUCAGUAGGAUCGUGUCUAAACCAUUCUUAGAUCUAUCAGUCAUGUAUCAUGUAGUUCCUAGAUCUAAUCAUCAUAAAAGCCCCAUCAUCACAUAGUCAAUCUGAAAGAUUGCUAAAAUUAUCCUAACCAUGCUCGCCUUUCCUUUUUAAUAUCCCAAGAAACCUAUGAGUGAUUGUUUGCUUAUUUGGCUACUUCUUUCGAUGAUAGGCUAGAAAUACAUCCAAAGAAUAUGACAAGGUGAAGCGUCCAAGUAAAAUUACGAAUAGAGCAAGGCAUAAUUACAUGCAAGUCAUAAGCAUCCCCUUGAUCAUAUUUAUAUCCUAUUGAGUGAGAGUAAUUAAAUAUGCCGACAUCAAUUACUAUGUCAUAUUAUUGCAUAUUAUUUUCAAAAGUAUUAUCAUACACAAGUGAUAGUUAAUCUUAUUUUCUUGACUAAAAUGUUCCCUUGAUUGUUUGAAUAUCUAGUCCCUUGUAAUCCCAGGAGACUGUUGACGCGAAAAAUCGACCGGUGAUCCCUCGCGCGCCGCCCACGAAGGCCUGGAGAUCUGCUUCACUCUAGUGCAGGUCCUACGCUUCUUGAGGUUCGAGGCGUGCCAGUUAAUUUGACCAUUCAACUAACAAGGUCUGUGACGACGUUGUAUCAGCCAGUUAAUAGAACCACGAUGCUGAGCCGAUACAACGCUCGGUCAAAUAAGAUGUAUGACGGCCUGUCGGCUACAUGAUAGAAUCGAAGUGCAAUGAGCCCACGGCCGAUGGCCGAUGCAAGAAUUAAACAACAGCCAUUAAAGAUUCCUCAUUUAUCGUGCAUAGGCUAAUUAGACUAAUCAGAUCUAGUUAAUGUCAUGAGACGUAUAUUGAACUUGACAAGGGAAUACGGCUGAGAGGGCACCAACUAUGAUCCAUUAAUCUAAAAGCCUAUCACAUAACAACAAGGACCGCUUACAAGCCGUUUAAACCAAUCAGAUCUGAUUAAUCGUCAUGAGAUGUAUAUUGAACUUAGACAAGGUAAUACAUCUGAGAGGACAUUAAUUUCAAUCCAUUAAUAAAAACAAACUAGUAUGCAGUCGAUGACGUCAUCCUGCUAUCGAGAGAAACGGAUAAGACCUGACCGAAGCAUCGGCUCUCAAUGAUAGCAUUUUGAUGUUAAGGAUCUGAGGGCUAGCAAUACGAGGGGCCGAGAAUAAGAAACUACCGACUAUUGAAGCAUGUUCUGUUAAUCUCUUAAUAAUAUGGCAAUUAAAGCAAUGUAACAGAUCUAGAAGCACUAGUGGAAAUUGUAGCAACAAUUUUUGUCACCGUGAAGGCGAAAUUUGUCACAAAGAAUGUUUUGUGAUGAAUUUGUGAUGAAUUUCAGUUUGUCAAAAAUCGAGCAUCAAGUUUGUACAUCCGUGAUGAACUGACCAAAAAUGUGACAUAACUUGUUUUUUCUAUGGCGAUAAAACUUUCGUCAUGGAACCAUUUUUCCGUUCUAUGAUGUGUCGCAAAAAUGUCACUAAACUUCUGGAUCCAUGUGUCCCCAUCCACGCGGGCAGGUGAUGUGGCGCCAUCCACGCUAGCACGUGAUGUGGUCCGGACACGCUAGCACAUGACAUGGCUUCGUCCAAGCUGGCAUGUGACGUAUCGGCUAGCACGUGCGAAAAAAGGACAGCCACGUGGCUAGCUAGCGUAAGGCCACAUGUCGAGACGACGCAAGUCCACGUGUCAUUAUUAUAUUCAGCCACGUGUCGCACACUCGUAUGGACACGUGUGGUCUUUUCAUUGGUCCAUGUGUCAUUUUCUUACGUGACCACGUGUCAUUUUCCCAUUUGUCCACGUGUCAUUUUCCAGUUUGCCCAAGUGUCCUUGCCCGAGUUGUCCACGUGUCAUUUUCCUAUUGGUCCACAUAUCUUUUUUCUACAGUUCCACGUGUCAAUUCCUUAGUGUUCCACAUGUCAUUUUACUAUUGGUCCACGUAUCAUUUCACGGCUGCUAUGAUACACGGCUGCUCCGCAUGUCAUUUUCUUAUUGGUCCACGUGUCAAUUUCUGAUCAGUCCACGUUUCCAUUUCUGUUUAUGACACGUGGUCUUUUCUGAUUGGUCCACAUGUCAGUUCCCCAUUAGUACACGUGUCAGUUUCUUAUUGAACCAUGUGUCAUUUCUGUAUGUUACACGUGUCCUUUUCUGUUCAUAUAGAUCCAUUUCAUCAUAGAACACCAAAUGAUACAGCAUAAUUCACAGAAAGUUCACUAUAAUUAAGUUACAACCAGUUCAAGGCACCACCAUUAGUUAACUGACAGUUCAGAGCCACAUAAGUUCAUAACAGAAGCACCAGAGGUCAUGAAGGAAUUCCAAGUAGUGCUGACAAUAGUUCCACACAGAUAGGAUCAGGGCUGAGAAGAGGUACCAGGGAUGUUCAAGUUCAAGAUCUUCAUAAGGAUGACAUUGCUCUCAUCUUGUUGCUUCUUAAGCUCCUCAUACUACCAUUGACUUCUCGCCAGCGGUUCCUCUGCUGCUUCAAUCUUCUUCUUUAGUUCUUCCACUUAUUGAUGUAGAACAGCUGAACCUUGUUUUUCAGAAGCAAGUUCUUGACGAAGUGCUUUUUUACCAGCUGACUGAUACUUGGAGGAGGUUGUAGGUAUUCCAGCAUUCUUCAAGAAUGUGGUGUUGGAGUUGUUCUGCGAGAGAACCUUGGAAACCAUAUCAGCACUAAGCAAUGGUGGCUACCCAUCAGCAACAAGUUCUGCCCUCAUAGUUUCCAUUUGACACCUAUAAAAUGUAAAUAUGAACUGUUAAUAUACUGAUUAUAGUAAAAAAGGUUUAUAUUAAACAAACUAGGAAAAAAGCAGAUUGGAUAACUACUACUAAAUAGUGUUAAUAUAACACACCACUAAAAGAUAGGGGCGACCAUGAAUGUUACAACUAUAUGAUGCAGCAUGUACAGAGAAGUGUUGGAGAAAGAAGGACACAAGUCUGGAAGAAGGAUUUGAUAAAUGGUUUAAGAAUCAUGUAAGUUAAUGGCAUAUUAUCAUUUAUGGAAGUAAUUGAUGUAACAAUACACUCAACUUUAUAUUUUUGGUUGUAGAUUGUGAAGCUGCAUAUAUAAAGAGAAACCUAAUAAAGACGGACAUAAUUGUAGGAAAAUAUGUGUAUUAUAGGGAUGUAGGUAAAAUGACCAUAUAGAGAUUCAAUGUCGGUACUAACUUGUUCAGCAUGGCAAGCAAUAGAAAUUAAAAUUCUAAAUGUCCAGCAAAUUAGCUAAUUCUUGGAAAAGAAAAUAAGCAUGUACAGGGACUUACAACAGCUUCUCUAGCCGUAUCACUCAUACCCUUCUUGCGGCUGGUAUGGCAGACCUUGAAGUCUUUGACUGCAUUGAUUUAUUUGUCAGCUUCAUCAACUUGUUCCUGGGGUUCAUCCUCGUUGACUUCAGCGGGUACUUCAUCCUUGUUCUUCUUGUACUGAUGUACCAAAAUGGAGGUUAGGCAAACAGCAAAACCACUUAACUCAUUCAAGAAAGCAAAACAAUGAAAAGGGAGCAUUAGAAAACUAUUGACACUUACAUAUGAAUGUAAUUGUGCAAUGUAGCAGCGAGAUCCUGUUGCUUGAGGCCACCUGACUCUAGCCCGGUUUCACUUGUUCUGAUCAGAAAUUGCCUGCAAGACAUGUAUGAGUUAGUCUCCAUCACAAGUAUAUACUUGAAAGCACACCAAGAGAAAUUACCUUAUUGUGUGCAGUUGACCACUUGUCAACAAGUUUACACCACUGUGCAUUAGUCAUGUAGGAGACAAGAGAGGUUGUGGGUAUCUCAUUAGCAGGGACGCCAACAAAGUGUUCUUGCUUCAACUUAUACCGCCUCUGCCGUGUCCCAGACUUGAAUACACUGACACAAGCAUUCGUUGUUGCCUUGUCCCUUCUGUCAAUUGCUAACCUCCCCUAGUGAUUAGAAUUGAAAUCCAGUUACACAAGGGCCAUACAGAGUUGAAUGUAAAAUAGGGAGUAGUAUAUAGGCACUCAUAGAUAGGCUUCCCACGAAGCCCUCAAAAUGUUUAGUCUCUUCCUUGUAGUCUUUCCAAUGGGGAAAGAUAGGAACUUGGGACCUAACAAUAACACCAGCCUCUGAUGCAAACUUGGUUGCUUGCACCGAUUCAUACGGCCUAGUGUUCCCCUCAACAACAGAGAUGGGUAUCCUUCUCCCUAUAGCUUUGGUCAUCUUGUCAAGCAAAAUUCCCCUGAUUGGUGGCCUCGCGUUCCUCGAGCCAACUCUUUGUGUAGGUGCUGCAGAGAUUUUAUUCAAUUUCUCAUUAUUCAUCAAAUAUAAAACCAUUAGUGCGAAAAAGCUUGAGGGUCAACGAACCAACCUUCAGUUCUGGACUCCGACUGCCCUGAGUCGUUAUUCCAACCGGUCUCAACUUUGUUGAGGUCAGGAGCAUCAUCACGAUCUUCAUCAUAUUCAUAUGACCAGUCCCUCAGAGGACGUGAAUGAUUGUUCACAUUGUCAUCACCGCUAGUGUUUUCUACAACUACUAGCAAUUCUUGCUGCACAACAUUGUCAUCACCACUAGUGUAUUCUGCAACUUGUGGUAAUUCUUCCUGCACAGGCUUUUCACAUGGUGCUGAUGUUUGCAGCCUUUUCAGUAACCUUGUUGAAGCUCCAGGAGUAACCUCUGUUGGUGGGAUUGACCUCACCCUCUUGGAAUGUCUACCUCCAGGAGCCAUGGCACCACUUGUUUUCCUCUUGUUCACACAGACCUUCCUACGCCCAGUCCGCACAGGGCCCUGCAGAUUUCAAAAAGUAGAAGUUGUAAGCAUGUGAACAAAUUAGAAGCACUUCUAAGCUUUGGAAAUAUCAAGUGCUCCUUCUAUGCAUUGUAAAUAUCUAGUGCUCCUUCUAAGCAUCCCCAACCCACCUCAAUUGCUAGGGGUAUCGGCAUCUCUUCUAAGUUUGUAUUAUCAGGCUCUUCAAGUUCAGGGAUGGAAUCUGAUAAAUCAAAACCUUCACCACGACAAGCAUGCCUGCCAGACCUUUCCCUCUUCCUGCCUAAACUUCCCCCUUUGAAGUUGUUUUCUCUUAACAAUGAAUUAAGAGCUAAUGAUAAACCACUAUUGCCAAAUUCUUCGAUUCUUCUUAAAUUCUUCCUGAUAGUUUCUUCAUGUUCUCUUUCAUAUUCAUUUUGUGAAGGUUCUAACAUAUUCGUGACUAGAAUUAGAAUACGGAUACCACUACAUCCUCCAACCUCGAACCAUGGAUGAAUGUGCCACUACCUAGAACCACAGAAGGUAGAUGAAUUUUGCAUACCUCUUGCUACAGGGCAUCGGCAUCUAACCAUUUUCAAUCAUCGGGUAGCUGCUCAUCGAAGAUGGUGAGGCUGCUAUGAUGCGGCAAUCGUCAUCAACAUUGUAGCAAAUCUGGUGUGACGAGCGUUGUCGAAGGGGUAGCAGAUCCGGUACGGUAGUUGUCGUCGAUGGGGUAGUAGAGUUGAAGGGGUAGUAGAUCCGGUGCGACGGUUGUCGUCGACGGGGUAGCAGAUCCGGUGCGGCGGUAAUCAUCGACGGGGAAGCAGAUCUAGUGCGGUGGUGACGGGGAUGCAGCUCUGGUGCGCUCAGCGUCGUCGACGAGGUUGAAGCUCUGGCGUGGUGGCCUUCGGUGCAUUGGAGGGGUCGAGUGUCGGCGCGUUGGAGCCUAUCGGCGUAGAGGUGAAUGGCGAGAAGUGGCCGGGAAAGGCGAGAGGUGGAGGUAGAUCUGAGUGAAGGGAUAGAGAAGGGGCAAGGGAUAUGGGGUGCUGGGGAAGAUUGUCACAAGUAUCCCUGAUGGACGGGUUAGUGGUGUGGCAAUUGCUUGAGAGUACAAGGGACAUUUCACGAGAAAUGUUUUUGACCAUUGUAUUGAACUCUCCUUGGCCGAAAUGAAAAGGAAUGAAUCCUUUUUAGCUGCUGCUGCAUACUUUUGGUCCGAUGCCCUCAAUGCCUUUAUGUUUGGAAAUGGUCCGAUGGCGCCAAGUCUUCUCGAUGUAUAUAUGCUGACAGGCCUUGACAUUACUUCUCCAGUCUGCCCUUUUGAUCCAAAAACCACCACCAAGCAGAAACUGGAAACCAAGAACAUUGGUGGCUGGGCCAAAUACGUAUCCAUUUAUAUCAAGAUAUCAGAACAUGUUGAUGAUAGAGAACACACAACCUUUCUUAAUCUUUGGUUGCAGAAAUUUGUUUUCUGCGGAUCAACUCUCAGCCCAACAACAAACUUGCAAUCCAUAGCAGAAUUGUUGGUGACUCAUCAUGCUAUCCCCUUGGGAAAGUACUUGUUAGGUGUUGUAUACCUUCUGAUGCAUCAGGUCACCAUGAAAUUUCUGGCGGGCUAGCCCGUCGGCCGUAUAGGCCAUCCUUGGUGGUUUGUCCAAUUAUGGCUUGACAUCUACACUUCAUUGGCUCUGGAGAGGGAUCUCACCAAGAGCACUUUCCCAAGUAAUUAUGUUGAAGAUGCUCAAGCUAUCCAUCACCGCUGCACUUCUCUGGUGAAGCAGCAUCAACUUUCCCUAGGGGUCCUCUGUUAGCGUCAACCACGGCUUAGCUCUUCAAGGACUUCUACCAUGGAUUCUCAUCAGAGAAAACCAUCUGGUUUGCAUACAAAGAUAAAACAGCCAGCUUCGAGUUCCCAACCAAUAUGGAUUUUGACCAAGUAGGCACUGACGAGCGUAGCACAGUCCUGCUCUUGUCAUCAAUUUCUCCUUGCAUACUCCUUGUUGGCUUUACUCAUGGUCGGGUUCAAAGCCCUUCAUAUGAAUUUUACCAUUCGUCGGUAUUUGCCCGCCAACUUGGAUUUGAUCAGGUCCCAAUCGGCCUAUUCUUCAUGGAAAAAGUGAAAGCGAGAGAUCCCAUAAAUAAUCGUACUGAGUUUGAUAUGCUGAGGAAUCUAACUUCUAUAUUGCCUUCUGUUGUCUUAUUGGAAUGGAAAUGCAUCAACGGCUAUGCCUUUAGACUCUUUGUCCGAUGGUGGAAAGAAUGGAAAGAACAUUUGUCUAACCGAUCUGCUAAGCAUUACUGGAAAAGGCUUGAUCCUAAAUAUGGAUCGGACAAGGUGGUAAUAUUUUUUCCAUAGUGUUUUAAUCUUCAUUCACUCUUUAAAAAUCCUUAACCCUAUUGCUUUGCACCAGGAAUCAGACGAUGAAAUAGAAACGCCUGCUGAAAGUGAUAGCAGCCUGCCGAUUGCUUAUGGUCCGCCUGCUCCCUAUCCCAUCAUAGGAGCUGAUACCCCCAAGUCUCUAACAUGCUUAAGGGCCCAAUCACUGGUAAACGCAAGCCGGUGCAGAAGCAAUCAAGCCGGAAGCAAAGAAAAACAUCGGAACCUCUGUUACAAAUUGAAGCUCCAUCGGUAUCAGCAUUAUAGAUCAAGCUUCUUUACAUUGCCUCUUCCUUUCUUUGUUUACAUAACAUUUUCCACCUUACUCAGGCAUUGCAAAUAGACUCCCUAGCUCCAGAAAUCCCAUCGGUAGAAGAAACUCCAGUAGACUGGAUCACGCCGACAGGAUUAGAACUGGAAUUAGAUGAAGAAGUGAUGAAGGAACCAUCGAUGGUAUGCCUUCACUAUCUUGAUAUCCUUCUGUAGUUAUAUUCUCAACAAUCUGUUCCUACAAGCUGCUCCAUUGACUUCAGCCACGGCAUCAGCAUCGAUAUCGGCAUCACCAUUGGCUUUAGCAGCUGGUGAGGAACACUUUGAGGAUAUCCAGGAACCAACUCAUCAGCUGACACGACCACCGUCACCGAUCCAGGUCAUUAACUUGACAUUAUUUGAACUCAAAUCCAAGAAUUAUAAAUUUAUAUAUCAACUCUUAUUCUUUUUGCAGGACUUACCAUCAGCUGAUGAGGGUCCAGUCAAUGAAACACAGGUCACCUCAUCGGCCAUGGAGAUACCAGAAGAUCCUAUUGGCUCAUCUCAAAGGACACCAGCUGAUGAGAACAAUCCACAAGUUGAAGUCCACCAACAAAGACAGAUUCCAAUACAUGUAUAAAAAUUUUCAUUGAACAACAUACCCAGUUAACUACUCCAUCAAUAUUUUGACCGGACUUACUUUGCACAGUCUAAAGAAUCAUCAGCGUCGGCCUUGUUCUUAUUCGAUGUUCAAGAAUAUGCUUAUGAAGAAGAAAUCAGGUCGGCCUGUCAAGCACCAUCAGCUCCAUCAGAUAUUAAAGGUCAAUUGGCAGCCAUUAUACGUUUUCUUCAAUAAGACACAUCUGUGAUCCUGGAGGAUGCUGAGCCAAUUUAGAAGUUAUACAAGCAAAUCAGAACCCAACUGUCUUCAGAAUUGGCAUCAGCCCUAAGUCCUACAACAUUUAUUGAAUCACACUUCUUCCAGGUCCUGGCAGCGCGACAACGCAUCGCUGAUCGGCAAGCCAACCAACAAGCUAUGACUUAGCUAGAAGUCGAUCGGCUAAAAACCAAGGAAUUGAAGUAGCAAGUCAAUGAGUUAGCUACCUCUGCUUCUGCUGCAGAGCAAAAUCUAAACGAGCUGGAGGCCAAGCGGGAUCGGCUAAUGCGUGAGCUGGAGCAGGUAAACCAAGACAUCAAAGUGGCCAAGGGCCAAAUCGCCAAAUACCCUGCUGCACUCCAAGAAAAGAAGAAGGAACUAGCUAAGUCAACAAACCAGAGCCGCCAUCAUCAUCGAACCAUCAACAAGAUUCCAGGGUUUGAUGAAGAAGACCUUCAAUUGAUAGCUGAUGUCGAUCAGAUCCGCCUGCACGCGGUACAUGCCAUUGAAAAGGCCUUGCAAGAAAAUAAUUAAUUCACCAUCGGCUUGUAUAUAACCUUUGCACACUUUUCUUAUUCCUAGCCAAAAUUAAUACUUUAAUAUCAUCCGUACUUUAUAUAUUUUCUCUAUUUUUUGUUCUAAAGGCGAUAUCAAUUGAUAUUGGCUAUCUCAAGGUGAAGAUUACAAAUCAUCAGCUUUUACUACCAAUUAGCUCUGAUCCAUGUUUACAAGAUCAGCCGACGCUAUACUCUUGUUUCAAGACUCAUCUUUCGAUGAGAGGUGUGGGAUAACUCAAUUCGUCGAUUGGUCACUAGGGUUCAUAUCAGUUGGUAUCAGAGCUGCAGUCUGAAUCCAGCCCCAAAACGUGUUGGAUUGGAACUCUUUCUUUUCUUGGGCCAAAAGUGACGUGGUGGCCUGGUGGAUGUUGGGAAUACUUGGACUUGGUCCCCAAUCUACUUCUUUGGUCCUCCAUGCCUUACAUGUGCGUUUAACACUAUUUUUGAUCCACGUAUGUAUUUCUGAAAUUUACAACGAACACACAUCAUGGUGCAUUAUCAAUUCAUCAAAUGUAUCAAAUACAAUCAUGGUAAAGAAUUGUUUCACCUGUGAAUCAAAAAUUACUAAUGUGGUUGUAUCCGAGCAGGUGAUGUCCUCAUCAGCCAGCGAGGAUCAAACCAAUGAUACUUCGGAUUGGAGGAGUUGACCAUGGACAAGCUGUCCGAUGUGCGCAAGCAAGAAGUGGAACAAGCCAUUGAACGAUAUAGAGCAGAAUGCCUCAAGACAUAUGGGUGGAAGCGAUCAGGCACAUACAAAAAGGCAGAACUGUUGUUGCCGCUGGCACCAUCCAAGGGCAAGCAAGAUACAACUGAAGAGGAAGAGGCUGAGUUCCAGUCCAGGGUCAACACUGCAGUCAACAAUACUUUUGUAAGCCAGAUUUGAGUAUUGGGGUAUGAAAUUCAAAGAUGAUCAUGCAGCUCGUAGAGCAUCACAUCUCCCGUGAGCCGUGGAGGAAUUAUGUGGCAAAUACGUCUGGCAACAGGGUGGCGCAUCAGGAUCAGCUCCAAGACAGCCGACAGGCCAAUUUGUGGCAAGUUAGGUUAUUGGGCAGCCGAUAGGAUAGUUCAAUACAAGGCCACACUCUGGGCAGCCGACAAGACAAUUUGCGGCAGGUCCAUCUUCUGGCCAGCCGAUGAAUCAGUUUGGGGGAGGUCCUGUUCCUGUUCAUACGGCGAAUUAAUAUUCGACACCACCAAACCACAGUACACACAGGAACGUGGAUUUCACAGUUCAACGUUGUAUGAAAAGAAAAAAGAGUUGACAGCACACGAUUCGACUGAACUUGCUGUUUAAUUGAGAACAACACAUUCAAUUUUUUCUCUAGACUUGCUGCUUUCAGUGAAAGCAUUCAAUUCAAGUCUGGGAAAAAAAAUGACGAGCACGGGAAUCAUUAAAGGACAGAUCACAUCACCUCAACUUAAGAGUAGCAAAGCUCGUAAUCGCUCUUGCAAGUUCAUCUUCGUGCUCGUUGACCAGCCAGGACUACGCCUCUUGAGGUAGCCAGCGUUAUUGGAGAGAGGCCACCACCUGUCUAAGCCCCUUCCUCGCCCCCACAGUGCCUACCACCGCACCCACGCUGCGGUGAACAGGAGGUAGAAGCCGCUUCAUGCUAGGGAUGGAGCUCGACGCCGGGAUGGAGGUAGAUGUCGUAGCCAGGGAUGUGAGCCGUCGCUGGAUUGGAUCCAGUCGCCGCCACCACGCUCGUUGGGGUCUGCCGCCGCAGAUCUGCCACGGCAGCGCGGCAUGAGCUCCACCGCCCGGGAGGAUGGGCGAGAUGCCGCAAGGGGGAGGUGGUCCCACGAGGAAGGAGGAGGGGGGUGAUGAGGAUAUCACCUGCUCGGAUACAACCACAUUAGUAACUUUUGAUUCACAGGUGAAAUAAUUCUUUACCAUGAUUGUAUUUGAUACAUUUGAUGAAUUGAUGUUGCACCAUGAUGUGUGUUCGUUGUCAAUUUCAGAAAUACAUACGUGGAUAAAAAAAUAGUGUUAAACACAUAUGGAAGGCAUGGAGGACUAAAGAAGUAGAUUGGGGACCAAGUUCAAGUAUUCCCAACGUCCUCCACCAGGCCACCACAUCACUUUUGGCCCAAGGAAAGAAAGAAUUCCCGUCCAACAUGUUUUGGGGCUGGAUUCGGACUGCAGCUCUGUGCCAACUUGCAAUAGCUGCCACAACCUCAUCCGGACUCCAUUUUAGGCGUUCAAGUACUCCUUGGAAUCCUUAUGAAGUCUAUUUUCAGAUAGAUCUAGACUCAUAUACAUAUGUAUUCUGAGUCAGCUGCAAUCACCGAAAUACUACCGAGAGGUUUUCUGUCCAGAGGUGCUGCGUCGCCUUAUUUUGGCCCAAUGGGCCGUGUAUCAAGUGAGGUCCAUUAGGAACAUGUUCUAGGGUUGGAGCAUGACCCCAACACCCCCUGGUCAUUCUCCUAGCUAUUAAUAAGGAUUAGAGCUGCCACAAACAGAUUGGGUUUUGUUUAGAUCAAGUUUAGCUCUCGCUACUUGCUUGUAAGCGCGCAUGCUGGAUCAGCCGCUCGUCUUCCUAUCUUCGGAACCCCACCUUAUUGAGAUUGAGUUGGAAACCUUCAUCUUCAUCUAGUAAAUUCAGUACUUGUUAUAUUUGUUCUUGCUAGUUCUUCGAUUGCUUGCAGGACGAGUGCCCUAGUGGCCGGGUGACGCGCUUCACAAGAUCGUGGCAGCCAUUGGAGGUGGUGUAUCGGUUGCUAAGGCGCAGCUUGGAAGGCUAUAGCCGGGCCGUGAACGUCAUCUCCAUUGACCUAUCGAGUUAUCCCACACCUCUCAUCGAAAGAUCGGGAAUCAACCCUAGCGGGUUCAUAUCACUAGCCAUUUGAUUAAAAUCCAAGCAAUGACGAGCGCUAAUGAUGUUGUUGUUGUGGUCCCACUGGACGUGUCAAAAAUGUGUUGAUGCAAAAUCUGGACUUCAGACCCUACAUUGGCAACACAUGAGGAACCGCAAGAUUUGCUUCACUCUAAUAUAGGCUCUAAAUCAGCUUGAAAAGGUAUACGAUGUGCCAGUCAAUUUAACCUGCAAUUGACAAGGGAAAGCUUGAUGAACGUUCCUAAGCCGAUCAGCUGUGAAGCCUAUGAGCUUGAGCAUGGUGUUACUUUGAAUAAUGUUAUAAACAUGCAUUUAAUGUGAUCAUAAAAUUCAGCAUGUAAAAAUAAAUUCAAUGGCAUGUGCCAUCGGCUAUAAGAGCUGACGGGCUAAGAUAGAUCUAAUGUGAAUAUAACAGCCAUUUAAAGAUAACUUGUUUAUUACAGUCAAGCUGAUUAAACCAUUAAUUUAAUUAAUGUCACGAGCCAAUGGAUCAGAUUUGAUUGAGACACCAUGGCAUCGUAGGGCAUUAACUCACUCCUUUAGUUUAAAAGACUAGAAAGUAAUAACAAGACCUCAUGGACAUAGCCAUCAGCUCAAUGGCAUCGGCGUGCCAAAAAUGUGUUGAUGCAAAAUCUGGACUUCAAACCCUAUGUCAGCAACACGUGAGGACCUGAGUGAUUUGCUUUACUCCAGUGCAGGCUCCAAAUCAGCUUGCAAAGGUGUACGGCGUGCCAAUCAAUUUAACAUGCAAUUGACAAGGGAAAGCUUGAUGAACAUUAAAUUUCUAAGCCGAUCAUCUGUGAAGCCUACGAGCUCGAGCAUGGUGUUACUUUGAAUAAACACCGCUAUAAACAUGCAUUUAAUGUGAUCAUAAAAUUCAAUAUGUAAAGAUAAAUUCAAUGGCGCGUGCCAUCGGCUAUAAGAGCCGACGGGCUAAGAUAGAUCUAAUGUGAAAUAUAAUAGCCAUUAAAAGAUAACUUGUCUAUUUCAUUCAAGCCGAUUGAACCAUUAAAGUUAAUUAAUGUCACGAGUCGAUGGAUCAGACUGAACCGAGAGAGUAUGGCAUCACAGGGCAUUAACUCAGUCCUUUAGCUUAAAAGACUAGAAAGUAAUAACAAGACCUUGUGCACAUAGCCAUUGGCUCAAUGGCAUUGGACUACUACCGCGAUGGAUGGAUCAGACCGAACCAAGAUAUCAUCUGCUCGCAAGUAGUAGGCUGAUACUAAAGAUCUGAAAACUAGUAACACAAGGGGAGAGGUUAACCAUCAAUCCGAUGAUGUCAUCCUACUCAUGAGAUAGACGGAUCGAACCUAAUCGAGACAACAUCGGCUCCACAACAAUAGUUUAACUUUAAAGAUUUGAAAGCUAACAACACGAAGGCAAGGGUAAAGAUCUAUCGGAUCUAGUAAAGAUGAAGCAAUUAAAGCAUGCAAGAACAAACUAGCCAAUACGAUCGGAUAAAUUGUGAGGCUUAAAACAAUUAAGAGAUCGAUCAGAUGACUAACUUAAUUAAAUCAAGAAAACUCGAUAACUAGUGAGCGUCUAAUUAAGAGAUUGAUACAAUGCAGCCUUAGUUAGAUCAUACAACUCGAUAACUAGCCUUACGAUAAAAGGAUCAAAAUAUAAGACUUAGCUGAGAAAGUUUUGAUACAGAUAACGUAAUGACCGAUAGUGACAGAACUUACAAGCUCGCCAGAGUUCGAUGUUGAUGCAGCCCUGCUCGCUAGAAGAAUCUCGCCGGAUUCUACUCUACUCCUACACCUAGGGUUUGGCGGUGUGGCGUCGAAAAAGAAGAACUGUUGAAUUGAUUUGAUUGUGUUUUCAAUUACAAUGCCCUAGUUUAUAUUUAUACCCUAGAGCAAGCUAAAGUCCUAGUCGAUUACGACAUAAGUUGUUACAAUAAUUCUAAAAUCUAUCUAAGAUACACCUCCACGCUUUUCCUUAUUUGGCGGAGUCAUUUCUGUCUCAGACUUUGCUAGCUCCAUCGGCUCUAAGACUCUAUUUUCCGUGGUUGACCCUGAUCAAAAAUGGGUGUCAACACUCCUGUACCUAAAAGCUGCCUCAGAACAGAUAAUAACUGGGCAUUGAAGACCUACAGAUCAAAAGAACUUGCUUGGUCUUUGUCUUCUGUGUAACUGUGUUCAACACGCCAAGUGCAUUUGAUGGUAAUAGUUCAACAUUAUUAUUGCAAAAUUCUGCAUUUAGAAUAAUAAAGCGGAAAUAACUAAAAUAAGGCAAAGAAUAUUUGACCAAAUUGAAAAGGAAUCCCUGAGCAAUGGCAGCAACUCUUGAAUGCUUUCUUCUGAUCAUGUGACCCUGCUCCGGCGCCUUUCAGUGACAAGGCCAUGUUUUCAAUCCAUAGCUUCGUAGUCCUACUGCCAUGUAUGAAGUUGAACUGUUGGUUGAUUGGGAUGUAUAUUGGUUGCGUUCCUGAUGGCGGUCUCCGCAACCAAUAUGUCCACGUUUGUAGCGCAAGUAGUAACAAUAACCACAACGACAUGUUGGAGGCUUGCAAUGUGCUUGAGACCAAACCUAUAAAUUUGGACAUAUCAUGGAUAACUUUCCGAUAUGAUUUCAAUUUGGAUAUCUAGUGCAUGUCAUUUCUUUAAAAACCACGACUGCUUGAAUAUUUCAUAACUCUUUUCUCCAUAUUUAGUGUUUGAGGCAGGAGGAUAGAAACAACUUAUGUGGAUACUACUGUUGUGAGUUCAUCCACGGCAUUGUAGGUCCCAAGAAAGGCAAGGACCGUCAACACCAAGUACGUAAACACAAUUCAUAUCAAUUUCAAUAUUUUUCAAUCUGCACAUAUAUUGGUUUAAAAUGAUGAUGUUAAUUUGCACAUGACAGAUUGCUAAAAUGAGAAAAGAUCUCAUCACCCCAGAACGACUCAUGGCAAUUCAAGAAUAACUAUGUGGAUUCCUUUUGGAAGAGGUCGUAAAUCUAAAGGGAGAAUUGUGUUACGAUGGAACAAGUGUGAGUCAACUUCAUCCAAUCAGGGACUCGGAUGACGACGCGUAGUGCAUAUUCGGAAAACUUGUAAUAUUUGAAGUGUAUAUAAAUUAUAUAAAUAUAAUAUAUGUAGACUUUACUAUAUGCUAGAUCAAUAUAAAUAUAUAUAUAUAUUAGUGUAAUAUUACUACUAUAUGCAAAUGGAUAUUCUACACUAAUACGAAUACUAACCAACCCACGAAUUAAAAUGAAAGGAAAAAAAAGGAAUAACCAUUUAGUACUGGUCUCACAGUUUAGUACCGGUUAGUACUACCGACCGGUAUUUAGUAUCGAACAAGCGGUACCGAUCAGGCGCGCGGUACUAAAGUGAGGUUACUGACCGAUACAAAAGGUUACUGACCGAUACAAAAGUUAGUUCUCCAGCAGUGCGGAGCAGUAUUUGUACCAUCCUGUAGUUAGCACUAGUAGUGAUACGUUAGCAUGGUUAUACUUUCAAACCGUUGUGUGUAUCUAAAUAUCCGUGUCAGCUAUAGUUUAACACCAGGCAGUGGUAGAGAUUAUUCGUGCUGGCUAAUUAACCGGGAGUGAAAUGCACCAACGGUACACGGUGGGUGUCAUCUAGAUCCCCGAACUCUCAAAAUGCAUAUUGGAGUCCUUAAACUUGCUAAUUGGUUCACACGAGGUCCAAAUCUCCAUGACACGCGUUAAACUGCAUAUCUGGCAGGCUGACUAGACGACGAAGGGGACCUGACAUGUGGGGUAUGCAUGUCAACCCAACCUCCCUUCUCCAUCCACCCAUGCCGACCUGCAGCUCCGGCCGUCGGCUGCUCAUGCCAGCCUCGUCCUCCACCUGCUACCACAGGGCCGUGGCUGCCGCCACCAUCCGCCCGUGCUGGUCCGCGGUCCCGGCCAUCGUCCGCUCCUGCCGGACCGCCACCGUUUGCCUGUGCAGGGCCACUUGUGCACGAUGUCGCCCAAAGGACAAGGCUAGCCCCAGCGUCGGAGUUGCCAUGAGGCACGUCGCCUCUUCCCAAAGCUUGAGGCACACUGCUCGGGUCUGCCCCCACUACUGCAUCCCGAAGCUUCGCUAAGACGCACCACAUGGGACUCGUCCCCGCUGCGUCGUUCGGAGCUGCCAUCAAGCCCGCUCCUCCCAAGUCCCGAGACAUCCCGGAGCUCCGCCAAGACACACCGCUCGGGGCUUGCCCCCGCCGCGCCGCUCGGUCCUCACCGUCAUCUCAUGCUACAUUGCGGACGCUGCCAAUAUCGCCGGAACCGGAAGUUCGCGGAGCAAUCAUUCUCCUACCUCUUCUCCUUUCCUGUUGCUCUCUCUCUUCUCUGCUCCAGUCCUCAGCCCAACACCUUACCUUUCAACCUCCCGUGAUGGAUGCGCGGCCGGCGGUGGGGCUCAAAGGCAUGCCCGCGACGCCGCUUGCCCAUGGUCCUACCCCACCAGAGCGCCCGCGAGAUUGCCUACCGCUGCAUAACGUCAAUCAAUCGAUUUGUUAAAAUGAGUUGCGCAACUACUUACUUGCCGCUGCCGUUUGUGUCCAAGAUUCGAUUUAUGCGCUGCCGUUUGUGUCCAAGAUUCGAUUUAUGCAAGCAACGCUGAUUGGUCAAAGGAUUAGAAAUAAUUGUGUCCAUUUCAAUCUUUGGAUGAAACAGGAGGGGUGUUAACCUCUGCUGGCUAUAUAUUAAAAUAAAAAGAAAGGGUGUUAACCUCUGCUGGCUAUAUAUUAAAAUAAAAAGAAAGGGUGUUAACCUCUGCUGGCUAUAUAUUAAAAUAAAAAGAAAGUUCAUAUAUACGUAUCAAGAGACAUGGAAGGAAAAGAAGAAAAUCAGAAAAAUUACAAGGCUCGCUCUAGCCAAUCCUGCAUUUGGAUUUUCCAUGGAUGUUUUACUCGUAGUAUAACCUAGGUAAACACCACCUUAAAGCGUGAAAGUGCUCCUUGCACUGAGGGAGUAAUACCUUUAAAAAUAAAAUCAUUUCUAGCCAUCCAAAUACACUAACACAUGAGGAUGAUGAUUUCCAUUGAGAACUUGACUAGUAACUGUGUCUUGAAGCUGCUGAGGAUAUCAAACGGCUCAUCUAACAAAUUUGGAAAGAGACAUAAGUGGAUCCAACAUUCUUGAGCAAAUGAGCAUUCCAACAUAAGAUGAAACAAGGUCUCUUCGCCGUUACAAGUACAUAAAACACAUGAAUAUGAGGGUAGGAUCAUCCGUUUAUGUCGAAGGACAUUCCUUGUACUUAACCGGUCAUUGAGUAUUAACCAAAAGAAGACUUUGUGUUUGUUCUGACAUCUUGAUUUCCAAAGCCACUUAAAAACUGGAUGUAUCUGUUGAUGUCCUGUCAGUGUCAUGUAUGCUUUCGCUGAUGAGAAAUGUGAGUUACCCCUUUGAUUUUGCGGAUCAUUGCUUGGAUUUUUCCCCUUCGUUUCCGCUGGCCCGGGACUUCUCCCCAGCGAGGCAAUGAAUAUAAACAUUGGUGGAGCAUCGGCUGCGGGCAUGGAUGAUGCAAAGGCGACCUUUUUCGCGUGGUGCGAUCGCCGGCUCUACAACACACGGACGAGGGUGCAAGUGAGUGCAUCAGGGAGGGGUGGUGCUCGCCGGUGGCCAUGAAGGAGGGGGAUGAGAGGGUGGUCGGGGUCAGGGCGAGCGCCGGCGGAUAAGGCCAGCUUUUGCAGCAUGAGGUCGGGGCAAGCGCAGUCGUGCCCAGUGAUGGCGGGGUGGAUGGGCCGAGCAGCGAGCAAUGGCAGCGUAGGCCAGCACCAAAGAUGGCGAUAAGGGAGAAAGAGAGGAUGAGGGGUCCUACCCAGCGCCACGUCAGCAGACACGUGGGCGUUUAACCUAAGUAACUGUGCUUUGGAUCUCACGUGAACCAAUUAGCAAGUUUAGGGGUUUCAAUGUGCAUUUUGAGAGUUCGGGGAUUUAGAUGACACUUGCUGCCAAGUUCAUGUACUGCUAGUGCAUUUUACUUAUUAACCGGCAUGGAAAGACGAUCUCAUCCGUGUCGGCUUCGUUGUUCUAGGCCUAUAAACCACACCGAUGAGGUUCCAGUAGUGCCAUCAGGAAUGUAGUUCCUGCUGGCAAACCAUAAAGAAUUGUUUGACAGGAUGCGCUGGUCAGGAAAGAUCAACUUUUCCUCACAGUCAGCUGACAGAAAACAAUAUCUGACGGUAGUAGGGUACCUCCUUGUAGGGGAGAUAAUGGAAAGCUCCUACGGGAAGGAGUAUGUGUGGAUGACCAAGGGUGGUGGGUUUAUGAGUCCGGAUCCACCCAUGAGGUGAUGCAUCACGUGGGUCAGGAAGCGCCGAGCGCCGUUGGUCGCCGGGUCAUUGAUACCGAUUUGCAGGGCUAGGAGGCACUCAGCCUUGGAGCAAGCGGGGUUGAAAGGUGCUCGAUUUUCUCUCUUUGUUCCUUCCGUUCGUACCUCUGUUUGUAUGAUACAGUUGGAGCUACACAUAAUUUAGGGUUUCGCAUACAUCAAUCUUUUGUUCAGCUUAUGUGUAUUUGGACCAACUUGCAACUACAGAUGCAAUUUUCGGAUUAUUCACCCAAUUUCACAUAGUGGUGAAUAGCUAAAUGUAAUUCUCCAUAUCAUACUCUACAUUUUUUAUUCUAAUUUGUCGUGAUCUGGUGAGUUGACGAUUUAUUCAUGCUUCUUAGCACUUCUUCAUAAAAUCUGACACACAAACUUUUCUGUAUUUUGAAAAUUUGUAGCUGUAAAUGCUACUUUAAUUUUCUUCUAGCAUGCUGUUUAUAGUUUUGUUACAUGCACUGCAAUAUCAUCCAUAAAGGGCUUUGAUGUAUUCUGCAAUAAUAGUAGAUAAUAAGGAGAAAUACCACUCCGUUAUGGAAAAUGUAGUUUCUAAACCUAACAAAUAAAUGUUUUAUAUUUGUACUGCAUUAUUGUUAUAUUCUAUUCCACCACACAAGACUCAGAGAAAAAAAAUCGUGACAUUGACUAGUUUUAAAAUGGUCUCAGGCAUACAAACUGAACUAAUUUACCAAAGCACUGUACGUACAACUAGAAGAAAGGCAUUACAAGUGUAAAGUCUAUAGCUUUGGGAAAUUUCUUUCGACUAACAAUUCUGUUGUAAAAAAAGUUGAUACCCAACCACAGGUGUUGCUACUGUACCACAAAGCUGUCUUAGAACGGAUAACAACUGGGCAUAGAAGACCUACAGAUCCAAAUUAAAGAGUUUGCCAGGUCUUUGUCUUCUUUGUUCACCACGCCAAGCACAUUUGAUGGUAAUAAUUCUACAUUCUUUAUUUCAAAAUUCUGCAUUCUUCUGUUAAUGUGACCCUGCUCCGGCACCUUUCAGUGACAAGGCCAUGUUUUCAAUCCAUAGCUUUGUAGUCCUACUGCCAUGUAUGAAUUUCAACUAUUGGUUGAUUAGGAUGUAUAUUGGUUGCAUUCCUGAUGGUGGUCUCUGCAACCGAUAUGUCCACAUUUGUAGCACAAGUAGGGACAAUAACCACUGUGACAUUUUGGAGGCUUGCAAGGUGCUUGAGACCAAACCUGAAAUCAUCGCUAUUGGACUCUGGUUUGAAAGUAAGGUGAUACCUUUGUAGUUUGGGCAUAGCUCCAGGAGCAAACACCAGCCACAUUCCCGGAAUGAAACAUAUAAGAUAGAACUCAUUUAAACAUUGGAAACCUUGAUCGUCAAUGACGAUCCUCCCACUGGGGGCAUGUCCUGUGAAGACCAGGCGGAGGAAGAGUAGAUUUGAUAUGCAUUUUAGUAUUUCAAUAUCACCUUCUUCCAUUCUAGAGAUGUCCAGUUCUAGGCGUGUGAGAUUGACAGUCGUGCUCAUCCACUUUGGAACUCUAGAAAGAGGUUUCAUAACAAUAAACUUUCGAAGACGCUGCAGAGCUAAGCCCAUUGAUGAAUCUAGAAUGAAAUCUUCUUGACCCCUGUAAUCAAAUGACAGUGAUUCAAGGUUGUCUCUUCCCAACUGAUAGAUAGAAGAGAGCAGAACUUCCUUGUAUCUCGUCCCACGAUCUUCCAUCUCACUAGGGUCUUCCACAGUUAUUGUAAGAUGCCUUAGAUUCCUUAGCGAACCAAGCUCUUCAGCCAACCGUAUAGAGCUGCUUGACAAAAGAAUAUGUGACAAUUCCUCUAGAAGUUGCAUAUUUCCAAUCCUGUCUGGUAGUUUCACUGAGCUCACAUACAAACAAAUUAGUUUCCUCAAUUGAACAACUGUCUCUGGAAGUAUCUCAAUGGAACAAAAUUUUACAUUCAGCAUCUGUAGAUGUUUCAAGUGGAGCAUACUCCCGAUACAUUCGAUGUGGUGGUCUUGCAGCCAUUCACAGCAACCUAAGUCUAACAAACGCAGAGUUCGGGAAUUUGAAAAAUUUGGUACCUGCUUCGUAAAGCCAAUAACUAUAACUGAACGUAUGCAAUGUUGGUUCGUUGUGAUUGUUUUCAUUACUUCAUCCUGAGAAUCAUUGAAGUGGAGGGACAGUCGGCGAAUCUUUGUUGGCAGAGGACUGCUCUGUUGUCCAUCUAUUAUGGUUACAAAAUUCUCUUCAGCUGACAAAGAUUUGAUAAUGCUGAGUACCAUGUCAUGCACUUGAUAGACAUGGCCAUCGUAACCAAUAUCCAUGGGUGUGAUCAUACUUCUAUUAGUAAGAUCAUUAAUGUAGCUCUGUGCUAUCUGCUCCAAUCUUUUACCCCUCUCUUCAGCAAUAAAACCUUCAGCUAUCCAUCUCCUUAUCAAGCUUCUUGGCGUUAUCUUAUAAUCCUCUGGAUAUAUACUUAGAUACAGUAAGCAAGUCUUCAAAUAAGGUGGAAGAUCAUAGAAGCUAAGCAAUAGUAUCUGUUUCAUCCCUUGCAAAGUAUGGUUAUUUUCAAGUGCAGAGCCAAUAGAGUUUAGCACCAACUCCCACUCAUCCUUUGUAUCAGAUUUGGUAGCCAAUAAACUGGCUAUGUGAAGUAUAGCCAAUGGCAAACCACCACAUUUUCUUAAAAUUGCUACGGAAAGCUCUUCCAAAUGUGAGGGGCAACUGUCCGGAGUGUGAAAGAUUCUUCUGAAAAACAGCAUUCUGGAGUUGUCAUCACUUAACGGCUCAAUGGGGUAAAUAUGCCCAUUGAAGCUAGAACAACAUGAUUUGGCUAUGUCCAAAAUGCGUGUAGUUGUAAUUAUUCGGCUACCAAUACUGUUCUCGGGCAAUAUACACUUCAAUAUCUCCCAUUCUGAUAUGCUCCAUAUAUCAUCUAUAACAAUUAGAUACCUAUUCACAAAAAUCAAUUCAACAAAUAAGAACAUAAAAGAAUCUUAGAGAAUUUCUGAUGGUAUGAAUUUCAGCACAUUUUUUGCACACGCACCUCUUGUCGUGGAGAAACUCUCUGAUUUGAUUGAUAAGCUUCUGCUCAUUAUCCCACAUGUUGCCAGCACCACCCAGUCCAGAAAGUAGAUCCACUAGAACCUUCUUAAUGUGUGGUCUUUGAGACACAAAGACAAAACAACUGCAAUCAAACUGGCCCUUGAUUUUCUGAUACACUUGGUUAGCAAGGGUGGUUUUGCCAAGACCUCCAAACCCCACAAUAGACACCAAUGUAAGUGGUGGCCCAAAUCUACACCAGUAUAGAGCGCUGGCAGACGAGGAUCUAUUUCUGCCUUAGUAUCCUUGGAGGUAGACUCAUCAAGCUUAUAUCUUUUUCUGCGGUCACUGAUCUCACGAACUUGAUUCUUGAGUUUUUCAAUUUCUUCAGCAAUUGCACUACUUGAAACCAGUUCCCUCAGCUUCCUGAUGCUGUUGAUGACAAACCCUUUGAUGCCUGUAGGCUGAUCUAGUUUUUCUUCAACCUGAGCCAUGAAGGCAUCGAUGGCAUCCUCGAUGUCAUAGGCAAGCUCUCGGACCUCCUUCAUCCAAGCCUUCACUUGCAAGUCACGCUCCUUCGACAUGGCGUGUUUCUGCAUCACUGCGUUCAUGCUGCUCAGCUCAUUUCGCAGGAACAACACAUCAUUUUCCACCCUUUUGUUCCUGCUAUACUGGUUUCCCAACAUAAAAGAGAGCUUGCAGAGAACUGACUCCAUAACUCCUGUAGAUGCACUUACCAGUGCGCCCUCCAUCAUUGAAUCUCAAUUUCUCAAUAGCAAAGGUCAAAUUUAUAUGUGGGUGCGUGAUUCAGCAUGGGCAAAAACAGCUAAAGGCUAGUAAGGAAAGAGUUGCAUGGAGAAUUAUCAGGAGCGAGAGUUGAGAUUUGAACAGGGGUGUCGGAAGUAUAUGUGUUGUAAUCGAACCGAGAGAUCACAGACGGGCUCCCUGGGGACCUGGACUUGUAGCAAAGUCAAGUGGCCCCCCUUUGAUUUUGUGGCUGCUAAGAUGUGUGUUUUGAAAUAUCUCUUAUCUUUGAUGUGACGUUUGCUUUGGCCAGUAAGUGGCAGCAAUACCUUUCUAAAGAUUAACAAUAGAAAUUAUUUUUUUUCUUAAACUGGCGCUGAGUAUUAUUUCAAUCUUAAAUAUGUUUUGCUCCUGUGAUUUGAGAUAUUUGAGAUUUGGAAAUUAUAUGAUUUUUGCUCAGAAGGCUAAUUUUUGAGAUAUUUGAAUAGAUUUGGAGACCAGAUUUUAGGGAAGACCAGAUAGUGCAUUUGGUGGGAUGAAGAGAAUUUGCAUUAUGCAACAGAUAGUGCCAGAGAGUCAAAAGCACCAUAUUUAAUUUUGCUGAUACCCUUAAUCAUAGAUGUUAACAAUAAAGAUAUUACAAAUUGCUCUUUCAUGACGUUUGUCUGGAUUGGACUCUCUUUCACGUGGUGACUAUAGGUUGGAUUGCUCUACAACUGCUAUCUUUUUCUGUGGUGAGUAUUUUACAAUGGUUGAAAAAGUCAGAGCCAUCCAUUGAGAGAAAUCAUACGAUGGAAGGAUAGGAGGUUCCUAGAGAAAAAUAUAAAGAGGUACAAAAUAGAUGGAACCAGGUAACAAAAAUAGUAGGACCUGUAUCCAGUUUAAUUUAAUUUUAAACUACCUUCCUACCCAGCUUAAUUUAAUUUUUAACUACCUUCCUACCACAACCCAGUGGUAACGUAAUACCGUUAACAAAAUUAUAUGUUAAUCUACUCAGGCCCUGUUAUGGUACUCCAGUUAUCCUUAGGAGGUAUAGGUUUAGAAGAAUCACAAUCCUUGAUUUUGGAAUGGAUGAAACAGUUAAAUAAUUAAAAUAAUCAAGAAAGUGCUAGAAACAGGCAUGACCACUCCUGGAGCGCACGGAUUGGCAUCAGGACUUUCCCAACAGCGCAUGGAUCGGCAGCUAUCUGUAGUUUAGUUGAGGUUGAUUAGGCGUAGAGGUUUUCCAUGCUUGACAAACCUUGUACACUAUAACCUGCUGCUGAUCCUGCUAGCUUAAGGAAUUCAUCUUGCAUUCCACCCAAAUAACACAUGCUUUUGGAAAAUUCAUGAUAAACCCUAUUAGAUCACAGCAAAGGACCCUAUUAGAAACUCAUCAGAAAGCUGGCCUCUGCCUUAAGCAUGCGCUAGAUAAAAGAAAUAUUCCAAAAACUAUAUUAUUAAUACAAAAUUUCACAUCACCCUUCUCAGUAGUAUGGUAUCCCUAGAGAGAAAACAUCACUACUACCGUACACCAACUUAUAUCCUAGAAACAAGAUGCCAAAAGAGGCCUGAAAUCACUACAGGAAUUGUAACAUAUGCUGAGAGUUCUUCAGCAAGUGGCUGACGGGAAUGAGUAUUUUUGUCAAUUCGGUCUCAUAUUCUAGGUCGGCAAAUUAAUGGUUGGUGGGGAAUUCGUUUUUACUCUUGGGAAAUCCUAUUUUGCUACUAAACUACCGUCAGCCAUUGGAGAGGAGAAAGUAUUGAUGCUGGAGUUCCCGUCGGCCACUUUGUACGAAACCCUAGGCAAUAGUUCUAAAUCUUGUAGUGAAUAGGUUAUGAAUAGAUUAAUGAGAACAGAGGAGAUAAACAUAAGUACUACAAUACGAAAGUCUUAUGUUUUGAAACAAUAUGCAGAGAACGAGGCCUACUUUGAACAGUUGAAUGUCAAACUUGAUACAGAACAUGGCUGUUGUAACACCAACUUGUGUUUUUAUAGGCUAAUAAAAGUGUUACUAUGGCACCUAGUAACACAUCUUGUUAGUGUUACUUUUUCCAAUGUUACGAUAGCCUGAUCUAUAGGAACACAAAUUAUGUGUUGAUUUGCAUCUUAAAAAAGUGUUACUACUCUAUAACACAAUUUCUUACCUAGUGGAACAUUUAUCAAAUGUUACAAUAAGUUUCUUAAUAACAUAUUUUUGAAGCUCUAGUAACACUUUCACUUUGUGGUAGAGUACAAGAACAUAGCUUAGAACACAUGGUUUGAAGCACAUGUUUUACCUAUUGUAACACAUUCAAAUUUACAAUAAAUAUUAUUUUACAUUUGCAUUUGUCAUAUGAUGUUGAUAUGAAAUUUUCAUACACAACACAUUACAGAAUCACACAAAACUAUAAAUUGCAAUAAUGAUAGCAAGCUGCAUUGAUUGUAGGAAGGUUACAACCGUAGUACUUGUUCUGUUGUUCACAUCAUGCACAUACAUAAGGAUAUGAUUCAAAUAAGAAAAUGUAGUGAAUAGUACAAAGUCCAUAUUACUAGAAAAAGGAAAAUAUAAACAUAAACAUCUGGUAUUGUUAAACUUUAUUGCUGCUUUAUCCAUUCUUGUAUAUGCAGAUAUAAUAAUUUAGCCACCGAUCAAUUCAACCUGCCAUAGAAAGAAAAUUGUACAUUACAUAUUAUGCUAUGUAUAUAUGGUACACUAAAAAUUCAGAAAGCUAGGUGUAACAUAUUGAAUACAAACUCUCUAUAAUAAUCUGAAAUACUGAGAAAUUGAUUCAUGUAGGUAUUGACAAUAUAUUAAAAAGUAAAUGAGUAAAAUUUGUCAGGGAGGGUUCAGUAUUUCAUGUAAAUGAUUACUAUCCUAACUGGCAAGCUAGUAUUUCAACAACAGUUAGUGUUGUUUCACCGAAAAGUUGCUAUUAAAUGAAUCCUGAGAUUUACCGACGAGUAGGUAGUAUGUAAUGCUUGCAAUCACAGUACCGAUAACUUGUUUAAUAUCAGGCAAUUCCAAGAUCUAUAUAUUGCUAUGGAAGAUAUAAGAAUGUGUCGCGGUUCAUACAAAAGGAAAACAUACUUUACCAAAGGUGGUCCCACACUUCUUGGCUAGUUGAUCUCCUUGGGAACACUGGUUUGUUCAAUUAGCUGGAAUCAGCACUGGACAAUAAGCAAUCAUUGUGGACUUAUUACUAAUUUGGAGAGCAAAACAUAAAAGCACAUAAAUAAACAAGGAAAACAGUAAUCUCUGGGAAAGAAAAGUCUAAUAUCUCUGUGGCAUUUCAACAAACAAGUCAUGGGCAAGUCGAUUAAAGAAACCGGCAAUGUAUUCAAGAUAGAUGCAAUUUUGUCAUAAAAAAUGUACCGCGGAGCAUCACUACCCAGUCUUCCUGGUCUGCAGUGAUCUGUCUGGAAUAAAUUAAUUACACUUAGUCAGGAGCCUUAGUCUGAACUUACACGGAGCCUUAGUCUGAACUUAUACGGAGACGAUUUGUUGCAUGCAGAGGCAAAGUUUGGUUCCUAGAGGCACAUGCCGGGGCCCAAUUUUGCUGCAGAGCAACCAAUCGAUCUAGUCUAAUAAAAAAAACCUAUGAGCAAAUAAGCAUCCAGGAAAAAGACAACUGAAGUAUGCAAUAAGACACACCUAGGGCAGAUGCCCCAAUCCCUUUGUCGAGAAGGCAAACUGGUACAUGGAGAAUGGUGAUGCAGGGUCUCCGAUAGGCAAACAAGUGUUACUGUGUAACAAAAUUACUGGUUGUAUCAAGAUAAUCAAAUCAGAACAAUGGUUGUUAUGUUUAUUUGUCAGCCUUGGUUGGCUUGUAGACUUAUUAUGAGCCCCAACUUGUCUAAUGGUUGUAGUCUCUUGGAGCAUUAGCACGAGCUGUCCAGUUUUUUAUUUUUCUGUGGCCUUCUAUAUGGUCUAAUUCUACUAUGAUUACUUUAGUAAUUUAAAGCUUUAUGGGACUCACUCAAAUCUCUAGAAAGAUGAGAGAACCUAUAAACAUUUGAAUUUUUAGAUACAUCAAGAAAGAAGUUAACCUCACCACCAAAUCCAAGACUGUAUCCACAACGCACCCCCAUUAGUGGAAACAAGAUUAAAGAACACAGAACUCUCUUGGUCGAGGUUGCCUAUUGUACUCCCUCCGUUCCAAAUUGUAAGUCAUUUCAAGAAUCUUGGAGAGUCAAAGUAUCCCAAGUUUGAUCAAAAUUAUAGAGAAAAAUAUAAAGAUUUAUGACAUCAAAUAGAUAUGCUAUAAAAAUAUAAUUGAUAAAGAAUCUAAUGAUACUUAGUUGACAUCAUAAAUGUUAUUAUAUUAUCAUAUAAAUUUGGUCAAAGUUGAGAUACUUUGACUCUCCAAGAUUCUUGAAAUGACUUAUAAUUUGGAACGGAGGGAGUAUUAAAUUAUUAAUUAAGAAGGAGAACCCACAUGGACAAAAUUGCAUGAUGAAAAAUGCAAUCACACAAAAAGGUAGAAUUCGAUAUUGACGGACGACCUGAAAUUCUCCUGUUUUCAUUACCACAAACCAAACAUAGCAAGGGGCUUAGGGAGAAUAGAAACCUACGGACCUGCAUGGAUGUCGUCGGACUCGUCGUGGUUGCAGAGAAGGGACGGGGAGGGUCCGACAGCAGCGAUUUGCGAUGGCCGUCGGUGAGGACGUACUGGAAGGGCGGCGAGAUGAGCAGAAAGACAUGGGACGGCGAGGAGUCGAGGACGAGCGGCGGCAGCGAGAGGCGCAGCAAUUUCCAGCCGCGAGAUGCAGACGAAGGGCGCCGAGAUAAGCAGAGAGAAAAGGAUCGGGGAGGACGCGAUGCCGGCGGCAGCGAGAGGUGCAGCAAUUGCUGGCGGUGAGAUUCGCAAAAAGGGCGUCGGCCUGUAGGCUGUAACCGUAACCAGCGAGAGGGGCGCGCACGAUUGGUUGCUAACUGGUUUGCCGCAUAUUUUUGUUUUUCAAUUACGAGCUCUUGUUUUUCAUCCGUGUUGCAUUGAUGGAUGGCGCCCCUCAUUUUUUUUGGCACGAUUUUUUUAUUGGCGCCAACAAUAUAUGUGAAAGAUUGAUAAGGUUUCCAAACUCAUUAGAUGUUAAUAUAUUGGCUCCUUUGCUAAUUUUUAGUGCCUUUUCUACAAUUUACUAUGUACUAGGAAAUAACAUAUCUACAAAUGAUCAUGUAUAGUAGUUACGUCCUUGGAUAAACAUAAUGCCUAUUUAGUUUCUUUAUUUUUCUCAUUGGUAUAUGGCGGUUAAUUAAACAUGUACAUUAAUGAGUCAACGUAGGGCUCCAGAAAAUGUUUAUGGAGCAGAUCCGAUCAGUGUGCACUGUUCAGGCCAAGUUUAUCCCUUUUAAUUUUCGAUUUCUCUUCCUUUUACCCAUCAUGUCAAAUCCGUAACAUUCUUCGUUGAUGCGCAGGAGAGGUGGACACAGCGACGUGCUGAAAAAUUCCCAUAAUCUGGCAUGAGUUGAUCUGGUCACUCCAGCAAGCAGAGGCUUCAAGAUUCAUUCGCUUGGGGUCUCAACAUUCUCAGCCAGAAGUGCCCUUCAACUAAUCAAGUGAUAGUCCAGAUCAACUCGUUCCAUUGUUCCUUUAGAAAGCCAUACAAGAUAGGAACGUUUAAUAUAUGUUUUUGGUGACACAUUGAGUGACAACAGUGUAUAUAUGUUUCUUUGCAACAUAUUAGUUGUAACAUUAUUUUGUAUGUGUUAUAAUAUAAUACUAUAUUUGUAACAUUUUAGCCGUAACACUAAUUUUGUGUUACAGUAAUCAUGGUCCGUAACAUAAUUUUAUAAAACAAGCCCUAUGUGUUACAAUGUUUUUCUGUAACACAUAGUUUUGUGUUCCUACAAAACUUAUUUGUAAACACGUUGACAAAUGUGUUACAAGUGUGUGUUAUGCUAUCUAUGUUUUGUAGUCGUGAUAUGUUGUCAUAAAGCUUGGCAUCCUGUAUAAUUAAAACACGUUAGUCUAACUGUAUUGCCAUUUUAUCUGUAACACACGUCAGACGCACACAUGCAUCAGUAAAUUAAAACCGUAACUAAAUUAACUUGGCUAGCUGUUGGUUAAUUAGUAUCUACUUUGUCGGCUGCCGAAAAGCCGAUAUUGUAUUAAAUAUCAUGAGCACUGCCAAUUGUAUAAUACUCUCUCUAUCCCAGAUUAUUAUUUAUUUUAGCUUUUCUAGAUUUAUAGUUUUUAUUAUGCACCUAAAUAUAUACUAUGUGUAGAUACGUAGCAAAAGACAUGUACCUAGUCAAAAUGAAUAGUAAUUUGGAAUGGAGGGAGUAAAAAAUGUUAAGAUAUGUAUUGUAACCGAUAUGGAUAAUGAUUGGUCAGGAGUUUGAAUUAAGUUAUUGUAUAGAGAUAAUACUCCUUGUAAAUCUAGUUUGUUGUAGAUAGAGCCUGGCUGGCCACAUCUAUAUAUAUGUAAUUGUUUGCAUCACAUUAGAUGCAUCUAUUAACAUGCAACCGUCAUCGAUCCAAGAUAGGAUGUUGACGUUACACGCAUCCACACCUCUGAUUUUCACGUGAUAAUCAGAGCCUACACAAAAUUCUCCACCAACUACAGAAGGAUUGGUGACAAAUCCUGCGCUAGCUGUCUCCCUGCGCGGCGACAGAGCCCCUGUGCCAGAUUAUUUCUGCGCUAGCAACAGCAUCCGGCGACAGAAGCAACAGAAAAUUUCCACGAACAGCAUCAGAAGCAACAGGAAAUUUUUUUUCCUGCGCCGAAACCAAUCUCCAUGGCGUCAAGUUCGUCUACUGCUAAUCCGCUCCUCGGCACCCAAGUCACCAAGAAGCUGACGCGCCAUAACCAUGCCGUAUGGACGGCACAAGUUCUUGCGACCUUACCAGGCGCAAGAUUGGAGUGCUUCAUCAACGGCAAGGCCGUCGCUCCAGCUACUGAGAUCGAUGUGACGCAAGCUGAUGACAAGGUCGUCAGGGUGGAUAAUCCCACCUAUGAGGAGUGGUUCGCCUCUGACCAGCAGGUCUUAGGGUUCCUCUUCUCCUCCUUGUAUAAGGAUAUCCUGGGGCAGGUGACCUCCACGAAGAUGGCAGCCGAACUUUGGAAGAUGAUUGGUGACAUGCUCGCCUCUCAUACUCGUGCGCGAAAUGUCAAAGUUCGCCUCUCCCUCGCCACCACCAAGAAGGAGAACAUGAUGAUAUCUCAAUACUACGCGAAGAUGAAGGCACUUGCAGAUGAGAUGACAGCUGCCGGGAAGCCUCUCGACGAUGAAGAACUAGUAGCAUUUAUCCUCAAUGGGCUAGAUUUUGAAUAUAAUCCAUUGACUUCUGCUCUCAUUACUAGGGUAGAACCAAUUACGUUGCCUGAAUUGUACUCUAAGUUCUUGAGUUUUGAGACUAGAUUAGAGCUGCAGCAAGGAGGCAGCUCUCCAUCCUCUGUCAAUUUGGCAGGGAAAGGUGGCCGUGGUGGUGGUCAGUGUAUGCGAAGUCCUAGCAACUUCUCUAAUCAGCAAACAUGAGGGCGUGGUUGAUGCUCUGGUCCUGAUCAUGGCUUUGGAAGCCGUGGCCGUGGGCAGCAGGGGCGUGGAAAUUUCUCAAGUCAACAGCAACGCAAGCAAUACCCCAAUGUUCCAAGCUACGACACCAAUGGACGUCCCGUCUGUCAAGUGUGCUACAAGUUUGGGCAUGUGGCGCUACAAGGUUGGGCAUGUGGCGUCUGAUUGUUGGCACAGGUUUGAUGAAAAUUAUGUGCCUGACGAGCGUCAUGUUGCUGCUGCUAUGAGUUACUCCGUGAACACAAAUUGGUACACGGACACUAGAGCCACCGAUCACAUUACUAGUACUCUUGAGAAGCUAGCCAUUAGGGAGAAGUAUAAUGGCAACGAUCAGAUUCACACGGCCAGUGGCGCAGGUAUGGAAGUCAAACAUAUUGGUCAUUCAAUUGUUCAAUCCCUAGUUCGCAAUUUGCAUCUAAAUGAAAUUCUUCAUGUUCCAAAAGCUGCUAAGAAUCUUGUUUUGUUCAUUGUCUUGGUAAAGAUAAUUCAGCUUUCCUUGAAUUUCACCCUAAUUAUUUUUUCGUUAAGGAUCAAGCAAUGAAGAACAUCAUUCUUAAAGGGUGUUGUCAUAAAGGGCUUUAUCCUCUUGCUUCUACAUCUGAAAUAAAGCAAGCUUUUGGAGUCGUCAAACCGUCUUUUGAAAGGUGGCAUAGUCGCCUCGGUCAUCCUUCUGCUCCUAUAGUGUCGAAAGUCAUUAGCAGUAAUAAUUUGCCUUGUAUUAGCAACAAAGGAAGUGAGUCGAUUUGUAAUGCUUGUCAACAAGCAAAGAGUCGUUAGCUCUCCUAUCAAAGAUUAGAUAGUGUUUCCAGGCACCCUUUGCAAUUGAUUUUUUCUGAUGUUUGGGUCCUGCUUCAACUUUUCUUGGAGGAAAGAAAUAUUAUUCUAGCUUCAUCGACAAUUUUAGUAAAUUCAUCUAGAUUUAUCUGCUUAAAUUCAAGUCUAAAGUCUUCCAAAAAUUUCAUGAAUUCUAGAAUCAUGAAUUUUAGAAUCUUGUUGAGCGUAUGUUCGGCCGAAAAAUUAUAGCUAUGCAAAACGACUGGGGAGGUGAAUAUCACAAGCUUAAUUUAUUUUUUAGCAAUGUCGAGAUCUCACAUCUUGUGUCCUACCCGCAUACACACCAGCAAAAUGGUGCUGCAGAAAGAAAGCAUCGCCACACCAUUGAAGUAGGUCUCUUCCUUCUUGCUCAUGCAUCAAUGCCUCUCAAAUUUUGGGAUGAGGCUUUUCUUACUGCCACAUACCUCAUUAAUCGUCUCCCUAGCCGAGUUAUUCAUGGUGACACACCUUUAGAGCGUCUUUUCUAGCAAAAACCGGAUUAAACCUUUAUGCAUGUGUUUGGGUGUGCUUGCUGGCCAAAUCUAAGACACUACAAUGCGCACUCGUAGAGCAUCUUGCGCCGCUGCCUCUCCGCAUUGGAUGAUGAAUCUGUUCACGUGCUCUACAGUUGAGGUGUCAUCCAGCCCUGAAAACUUGGUGAAAUCGGGAACUUUGUACCGAUAGGGAAACGACAGUAAGUCAUAAGUAGGCGGGUAUGGUGUCUUGUAUGUAUAGGUCUGCAUCUUCGGUUUUAAACCGAAUUGCUCUUGAAUCACCUCCGCUAUGCGUGUCGUCCAGUCUGGUUGUUGCUGAUGGACUAUCGGCUGGGGAACCGGCACAUGUUGGUAGACUGGCGGCGGGAUGACCGGGUGAUAGGCGAAAGCGUGCGGCGCCUGAUGUGUCGUAGCUGGCUACGUAGUCGGGGUCGGCUGUUUGAAUGAAUCGGCCGCUUCGUCAUAUAGUAUGAUCGGCGCAGCGCCCCGAAGUAUUUCUGUUGCUUCUGCCCCCCUGCUCAUCUCCGGCGCGACUGGCUGAUACUGUGGCAUCGUCGGCCUAACGGCCGAUUGGAAAGGUGCCUGGAUUUGAGAACCUCCAUGGCUGGCCGAUUGAUCCUGGACGGCCGUUACUGAUGGUGUCCCCCAAGGCACUGGAUUCAAAGGAGGAAACUGCGCGGAGGAUAACUGAAUGGGAUGCGGCCGGAGAUAUGGCGCGCCGUUAGGCCCCAGAGGGAUUGAUGAUGAGGAGGCGCUGGGACCUCCAAUUGGAAUCUGGAUCGGCUGAGGAGCCGAGUAGGGUAUAUUUGAAUAACUCCUGGUCGGGGCCGUAAUAGGUGGGGCAUACGCCGGCCCCUGGUACCCUUGGGAUACGCCGUUGGCCAAGGAGCUGAUGACGGCAUUGUAUACCGUAUUAGAAAUCACCAGGGAUUGAUCAAUGAAAGCUUGAUAGACAGAUUGUUGAACCAUCUCGGACAUCUUGCCCGAGUCCUCGGCGAUUGUGAUCUGGCGAGGAGUUGGAAACGGAGUCUUUUUUACAGUUUCCCCGCUCCUGGUACGACUGAAGGAUUGCAGACACGUCUUCCGGUAGUAUGCCAUCUGCUUUUCCAAUUCUUCCUCCUGGUCGUCCCUGAGGUCUGCUUCCGUCACUUCGAUGACGUUGUCUUCCGAGACUUCGGCAGCUUUUGACAUAGUGGCUAAUGUAUUGGUCCCACCUGGCGUGCCAAAAGUGUGUUGGUGCUAGAAAUCGGCUGAUCGGAUCCCCAGCGUCGGACACACGACCCGGGAGAAUCUGCUUAACUACUGUUCAGGUGAUCGCCCUGGUGCGGUUUGCGCGGCGUGCCAGCCAAUCUGACCUGUUGAUUGGCAAGGAAAGAAACGUGUCAGAUCCCAGAGAUUGCGAUCGGCUAAGGUUCCGAUCUCGAGAUAGCUUAUCAGGGAAUCGGCCGAUUUGCUGUAAUAAAGAAAUUGGCUAUAAUGCAACCGAUUACCGAGCAGCGUUAAUAAAGAAGACUGUUGUAGUAAUCUAAACAAUGCUACAGUAACAACACUAGGAAUAGAUCUAAAUCGGCUAUGCGUAAAAUAAUAGAUUGAAUAACGAAGCACAAGAAAGCCGAAAGUUCCAAUUCCUAGCUGGAUAACUGGUGAUAAAACUAGAACAAUAGGCAAAACCUAAGAUUCUAGUGAAUAUCGAUAACUAGUGAAUAAAUCUAAAUGAAACGACAGCGAUGCGCCCGAAAUUAAAGCUUAGAUAUUACUCGAUAAACGAAACUUACAGAAUCGCCCGGAGAUCAAGUUGAUGCAGCCCCACCAACCCGUAUGAACUCGUGAAAGGAAGAAAAGUAUUGGUGAAGUCGCCUGCUUGAAAGUAAGUACGAGGAAAUAGUAGUUUGUUGUAUUGAUUUGAUGAUGAUUACAGAUCUAUGAAGGUGGCUAUUUAUAGCCUAUUACAAACGAUUCCUUAACCGACUAGAACUCUAUCUCUAAUUUUAAACGAAAACGAAUAUUUACAACUACGAUUCGUACUGGGGUUGAUCAUCAUGCUCUCAUGGGCUGACUCCCUUUUUAUCUUCACAAUCCACUUUAAGCCCAUACCGGCCCAAUUGCUCCAGUCUCCUAAUCGGCCGAUUUCUACCCACUCCAUCGACAAGGGACAGCCGAUUACGGCCCACAUGUCGGGGGCUCCGACUACUUCGACCCUGGGACCUAAGGUUGGGCGAGGCGGAAUUCCUCCCUCGGAGGGUCGGGCGCAUCCGACCCCAGGACUCAGGGGUCGGGCGAGGCGGAGUUCCACCCACAACGGGCAAUCGACCGAUCCUCGACUGUAGCUCCAAUCGGCUGAUUUCCAACCGUGACCUCUGUGUCUUGCCGCAUCUCCUGAUUUCUUCCUUUCCUGACGCCGAUUUCAUACGUGUCAAAAUCUGGCGUCAACAGACUCUUCGUCAACUAGAUGUACAAAAUGCUUUUUUUCAUGGUGUGUUGGAAGAAGAUGUAUUCAUGAGACAGCCAUCAGGAUACGAGGAUCGAUCUUUUCCUAAUUACAUUUGCAAACUAGACAAGGCAUUGUAUGGAUUGAAACAAGCAUCUAGAGCCUGGUAUUCCAAGUUAAGUGCUAAAUUGUGUCAAAGGGCUUCAAGUCAUCUAAAGCAGAUACGUCGUUGUUCUUUUAUAACAAAGGGAAUACUACAAUAUUUAUGCUUGUCUAUGUUGAUGAUACAAUUGUCACCAACUCCAAUUCGGAUGUCACUUCAGCGCUGUUGCAAUAGCUUAAUAGAGAAUUUGCUCUAAAAGAUUUGGGUGAUCUACAUUAUUUCUUGGGAAUUGAAGUAAGUAAGGUACGUGAUGGUAUAUUACUGACACAAGGCAAAUAUGCUUCUGAUGUAUUGAGGCGAGUUGGUAUGAGUGAUUGCAAGGGGGUUGCUACUCCUCUUUCUACUUCAGAGAAACUCUCGAUUCAUGAAGGAGAGAUUCUUGGGCCUAAUGAUUCAACACAAUACAGGAGUGUGGUAGGAGCUUUGUAGUAUCUAACCUUAACAAGGCUGGACAUUUCUUUUUUUUUAACAAGGUGUGCUAGUUCUUACAUGCUCCUACUAUGACUCAUUGGGCUGCUGUCAAACGAAUAUUGAGAUAUUUGAAGUACACUCUGAAGCUUGGUUCAAAAAUUAGUAGAACUUUAUCAUUACUUGUGAGUGCCUAUUCUGAUGCUGAUUGGGCAGGAUGUCUGGAUAAUCGACGUUCUAUAGGAGGCUUUGCUGUGUUUCUGGGUCCUAAUCUUGUCUCGUGGAGCGCACGUAAGCAAGCAAUGGUAUCUGGUUCAAGCACAGAGGCUGAAUACAAGGCUGUUGCUAAUGCGACAACUGAAGUGAUGUGGAUACAGACUUUGCUAUGUGAACUGGGAGUUCAGGCACCUAUAGCAGCAAAGUUAUGGUGUGAUAAUUUGGGAGCUAAGUACUUAUCUGCUAAUCUAGUGUUUCAUACUCGCACUAAACAUAUUGAAGUUGACUAUCAUUUUGUUCGAGAACGAGUAGCUAAACGGUUAUUUCAACCAAGAAGCAGGUUGCUGAUGGCUUUACAAAGUCGCUUGGGGUGCAGUUGCAAAUGUUCAAGCACAAUGUCAACUUGCGAAGUUUAGAUUGAGAGGGCGUGUUAAGAUAUGUAUUGUAACCGAUAUGGAUAAUGACCUGCCAGGAGUUUGAAUUAAGCUGUUGUAUAGACAUAAGACUCCUUGUAAAUCUAGUUUGUUAUAGACAGAGCCUGGCCGACCACAUCUAUAUAUAUGUAAUUGUUUGCAUCAUAUUAGAUGCAUCUAUUAACACGCAACCGUCAUCGACCGAAGAUAGGAUGUUGACGUUCCACGCAUCCGCACCUCUGAUUUUCACAAAAGAUAGUGUGGGAUAUAUAACAGGAAACGCUAAUAACAAUUCCCAGUCCCAGGAGAUCCACUACUUCUAGUCCCAGCUUUCAUGCUUAUUCCAGCAAGACCAGAAGCAAGCUGUCCACCCGCCAUGGGCAGCAUCGCCCCUGAUGGAGUUGGAGCCAGCGUCGAGAGAUCAAUCGGGAUGGAAGAGGCUGCCGCUUUCGACCGCGUGGCGGAGAGAAAGAAGGCUGCUGUGUCAGCAGGGUUGAUGUGGAAGCCGCCGGCGGCCAUGGUGCUGGUGCAGCUGAUCAUCACGGGGCUGAUCAUGCUGUCCAAGGUGGUCAUCAGCCGCGGCAUGUUCAUCUUCGCGCUCCACGCCUACCGCAGCGCCUUCGGCACCAUGUGCAUCCUACCUUUCGCAAUGUUCUACGAGAGGUGCGUGCUCGCAUAACUCCUCCCUUCUUUCGUACAUCCAUAUCUUGGUUGCCUUUUGAUUUCUUGAGUUAUCUAUUUUCUAAAAAUGUUAGUUUUUUUGAACAAAGAAACCCCAUGGUAUUUCUGUUUCUUAAGCAAAUUUUGAAGAAUAUUUGUGAGUCUUAUAUACACCGUUAGAUGCAUAUGGAGACAAGUAGAACUUCAUUUAGAGCAUAAGGUCAAACGGCUCAAAUUUGAAAAUUAGGUGCCUAGUCAAAUUGUUAUUUUCUUAAACUACUUCUGUUUUAAUUUUGUGCAGGGGGAAGUGGAAGGAGUUGAACUGGCGAACCUUGGGAUGGAUCUGCCUCAACUCGUGCAUAGGGUACGUAUCACUCCUCAAAUUCAGUUAUAAUCUUUUAUUAGUUUCUUCAGUCAGCCGCAUAUGGUCAUGGAAAUACAAAUGAUGGCCAUGCGACGGGACUUGGGAGUUGCUCUCAAUCGAAGUGCCAAUGUGAUUAAAUAGAGCACAGCGAAGCUUUGGUGCUGCCUGCAUGGCUGCAUAUCUUAUUGUCCUGUCAACGCUUACACGAAGAACUUGGAAAAUACUUUAGUCUGUGUAUGUGUCAGUGCAUACGUCAGUGCUCGAAUAAGGAUACUUAAAAACCUGAGCCUCUUUUGCUUCAAGAUAAACCUACACUAUCUAGAUGUGCUCUAAGGGUUAUCUAGUGCGUUUGCUCCCCCACCAAUAUAGAGUUUUGUAACAUAGAACCAACCCUAUCAAUCUACUCUAGGAAGGUAAAGCUGCACAAGAUUGCAUCAUAGUAAAUGUCAAAACGCAGAUGGUAAGCAAGAGGAUUGCAAACUUGGUACUAGGAUUUGUCCUAUGGUAUUGGUAGGCAAGCUGCCACCUCUAUUCAAUGAUGGAGCUCUUGCAAGGAUAUGCUCUUAGUUAACCAAGACAGAUGAGGAACUUUCCACCACGGCAAGUCUUGCUAUAAGCCUUACUUCUGUUGCGAUUGCUGUUUUCACUUUGGAGCUUGAGCCACAAUAGCAAGGGCCUCUGCAUCCAUGUACAACCUUCCUGUCGCUGCUCCAUACAAGCCGUGGAGUCAAUAAGCUUGAGCCAUCAAGAAUCAAGGUGUGGUGCACACCAAGAUCGACUACAAGUAUGGAUCACGCCUUAAUCCACGCACAUGGCAGUAAUACCUGGCAAGACUCUCUCUUGGCAUAACUUAGUACUAAUCACUCACUAAUCUCGUGCUAAAUGCCUUAGAUGAUCAGUUUAUGUACUUUGGUGGCUUUGUAGUCUUCUCAAGUGUGUAGCUUUCUCUAGACUCCAGCUUCCUCAAAUAACCGAGUAAGGUGAUAAUUAUAGGCUCAACCAUUCAAACUAGACGUUGCGAAUGGCUUAAUUUCACUAUGAAAACUGGAUGAUCUGAAGAUAUCUUGCUCGCACUCAAACAAACCCUCUGGUGUGCAUAAGAAAGCAACUAAUUAUAACUGUUGGACACCUAUAUUAGCACACUAUGCCAGGAACUAUUUGUGGCCACACCUGACAUUUUUUACCAGGGUCGGACAUAAUUUGCAAUCUGCUCAAAUAGCCAGGCGGGCUCUAUCAGCAGACCUGUCCUUGAAAUGCAUUUUCAGGGCUGGGCCAUAUAAAGCAACCGAUUAUAGAAAUGCAACCAUUUCCAGGUUUGGGCCACAUAUUACCGAUCCCGGAAACGGGGAUUUCUUGGACCAGUCACUUAUGUAUAUACCAGCCAUAGAAAUUGUUGCAUUUCCAGGCCUGGCUAGUUUUGCCAGCCGGUCCUUGUAAAUAUUUUCCAUGACCGGUCUACAUAUAUAUAUGGAAGUACCCCUUUUGUCCACUUCUAUAAUACACAUUUUAUUUGAAUAUAAGUCUGUCUUUGUAAGUUUUAACCAAUAACUAGUCAAUUUAUAUGCACAUUAACAGUAUAAAUAUAUCCAAUUUUAUAUUUGUUUUACUAUGAUGUUGAUUUUAUAGCAGUUGACCAACAACAUGUUGAUAAAUGGUAAUUAUCAGUAAGUACAGGCGAUUAAUAAUUUGUGUGAUAUGCAGGUAUGCGAUGCCAACGUGCCUAAACUAUUAUGGUCUCCGGGAUACUACACCAUCCUAUGCCGCCAUCUUUCUCAAUAUAAUUCCUCUCAUAACCUUUAUUUUAUCCACCGUUUUGAGGUCAGAACUUGUUCUAUUUUAAUUUGUAUAUAUGAGUCUGGACAAUGUGCUUCAGAUUUUUAUAGGGUGUAGAUAACGGGAACAACUAGUAAAAGUAUUUAUGUUCUGAUCUAUUUCAAUCAUAGUAUUGUAAUUCAACUCAUCAAAACACACAUUUCUGUAAAAAUUUGUUAGAAUGGAGAAAUUGCAAUUCGGUACUGCGACGGGAUCACUGAAGGUAGUAGGAGUCCUGCUUGCCGUAGGAGGCACGAUGCUGGUAAGCCUUUACAAGGGCAAGGUACUGCAUCUUUGGGGUUCCAUUUUACGGCACCAAAGAUAUGAGCAGCCACAUACUGCAAAGCACCAUGUAAGAGGAACAAUCCUCUUGCUAGGCAGCAGCUUCACCUUUGCAUCAUGGUAUCCGAUUCAGGUAAUCACACACUUUCUUGACCAUUGUCCAUCCAACUAAGUGUGCACAAUGUAUGUCACUGAAGUUCAAAUAUAAUGAUGUUUUGUUCCGCAGUCAAUGGUCAACAAAGUUUAUCCGCAUAAGUAUUGGUCAUCCACGGCGACAUGCUUUCUUGGAGGACUUCAGACAACAUUAAUUGGAAUAAUACUGAGACGAGAUAGGAAUACAUGGAAGCUUGGAUGGGAUCUACAACUUCUAACCAUUGUGUACACGGUAAAAGCCACCAGGUUCUUUAAAUUUUCGAACUCAGUUUACAACAUAAACUGUACUAAUUCAGUUCAUAAAAGAAAGAAACAAUUUGAGCUGGGCAUGGACCCCGCAAAACUCAGGUUAAAAACAAGGACAACAACACUGGUAGAGAAACGAGCAGUAGUCCCAGUUGGAAAACCUUUAGUCUCGGAUUUUUCUUGAGGAUGGAAGAUCGUUUUUCCACCAGUGCAAUAUGAUUUAUUUGUAUGCUUUUUAGGAGCAGCACCUAAUAAUGAAAUGACGUUACAGACCCACAAGGUUGGGUGGUUUUCUGGUCCUCUUGCUUUCCUACAUGUUCCCUUCUCCUAGUUAUCUUAUCUCAUAAUCUAUCUCUGCGUCCGGCUCGCCUUCACUCAGUCAAGGGGUUCCCCUUUACCUCCUUCCGGGUUGAGCAAAAAAAAUCAAUGGAUUGACCAUUGCCGAAACAAGGUUUAAGCGCUAAUGUAUUUUAGAAAAUAAUUGUAUGUGUUCAUUUGUUGGUCUUUUAGCGAAUUUAUUCAUUUGUGCUUGAUGAAGUUAAUAUGAAAACAAACAUAAACACCAACUACUAUGCAGGCGGUACUUGCAACAGCAGUAAGAUACAACCUGGAGUCAUGGGCCGUUGCCAAGCGAGGCCCAGCGUUUCCAACAAUGUUUAUCCCUUUAAUAACUGUGUUCACUACCAUGUUGGACUCCAUAUUUUUAGGGGCUGCCAUUACCGUUGGAAGGUUAGCUGUUUCUAACUCUUGCUGUAAUUGCGCUAUCCUGCUUAAAUUUUUCAUGGCUGUAUGUAACUAUUGAUUGAACUGUCCCGUUUCUGAAUGUGCAGCCUCCUUGGUGCAGUAACCGUAAUUGCAGGGCUCUAUGUUUUCCUAUGGGGAAAAUCGAAAGAGCUGCCCACAAAGUAGAUAUUACCAAAAGGAUGGAAUUGUAUUUUUAUACUGUUAGGUAUACGAUUCAUUGUUAAGUUAAUUUAUAUAUGCAACAGGCGUAUCAAAUAAUCAAUUACUUAUAUUGAUUUUAUUCGAUGAGGCAUCCGCAGCUUACUAGCAAGGGUCCAUGUCUUUCAGACAUCACAAUUUGUCAGCCAGAUUUGGUUUACUGCGGUUACUGGCACUACCAGAACCUCAAAUUUGCCGAGUGGUUUUUUUCGAGUAUUUUUUUCAAAUACUCGGCAAACAAUCUUAUGCCAAGUGCCGAUCCAAAAACACUCGGCAAAAAAAAAACACUCGGCAAAGGGGGGUUUGGCGAGUGUAAACGAAAAAACACUCAGCAAAGGGGAGUUUGCCGAGUGUUUUUUUGUUACACUCGGCAAACCCUUUUUUUUACUCAUGCACCGCCCCACCCAGGCAUAAACGCAUGCUGCCCAAACCCCCACCCACCCACGCGCCCCUCCCCCCUCCCGGCCCCUCCCCUCCUCAGCUCCCUCUCGCGCCCCCUCCCCUCCUCACGCGGGACCCCACCCUCUUCCCUCCUCAGCAACUUGGCAGCCAGAUCCGGCUGGAGCUCGGCCGCCUCCUUCUCCCUCCUCCCUUCCCUCCUUCUCCCGCCGCCCCCUCCCUCUCCCCACCGGCGGGCGAGAUCCGGCAGCCGGGCGAGGCGCCUCGAGGGAGGGGGCUCCGGCGGUGGCGGCUAGAGGGGAGGGUGCUCCGGCGGCAGCCAGAUCCGGGCUCGACGGCGGCCAGAUCCAGAGCUUGGUAGCGGCCAGAUCCGGGCUUGGUGGCGGCGGGUCGAGGGGAGGAGGCUCUGUGGCGGCGGGCAUGUGCAUGGUGGCGGCGGCGGCGUGGUGGCAGUGGCUGCAUUGUUUUUUUUAUUUUUUUCAAAAAGUUUUGCCGAGUGUUCGACAUAAAACACUCGGCAAAGAAACUUUGUUGUAGCUUUCUUUGCCAUGUGCCCUUUGCCGAGUGUAACACUCGGCGAAGGGUUUGCCGAGAGUGUUUCUGGCUUUGCCGUGUGCCCAUAGUGUGGAAAUCAUCACAGAUGUUAAAAAUCAAUAUACGAGGUCGCAAUUGACCGAGUUGCUUCACUUUUGUAAAAGGUCACAGCAAGUUUUCAAGCAAACCAGUAAAGUGAUAAUUCUUCACUGACAUCGAAGAACUACGGUAGCAAUACUGUUCAUGUAGUAGCUCCUUUCCUCUUUCUUCCCAAAGUGAACUAGUAAACAGGUGGAGCCGAUGAAGCCAGAAUUUUGGGCUUCACCGGCUCCAGCUCCUAGGGUGCUACAGUGCUGAAGCCAGAGCACCUCAGAACCUUCCAAAGACACCCUUAACUGCCGCUGCUGUAGACACAGUCUCAAACAGGUUUAUCGGAAAUGCUAUCAUCAGGGCGUCCGGACGCCCAUCCACCUUUUCGGACGCGUCAUCCGCCGUUCGCUACAUCUGACGGCUCCGCUUCCUUCUUACUGGCAACCGUCCCCUUUCUUUUCUUGCGCGGUUAUUUCCCCUUUUCCAACCGGCAACCACCGCAUUUCCUCCUUCACUAUUCCAUUCCUUUUUACCGUUGUUGCUCCGGCAAUGCGGUCGCCGCGUCCGGUAGGAGGGACACCCAAGUCCUCUUCCGUCUCGCCGGCGCUCCCUUCUUCGCCUCCGGUGGGAAGGAUCACCAGGUCUUCAUCCGCCUCACCGGGAACGCGAUCGCCUCGCCAUGUUCGAAGUCCGUCCAGCCCCUCCACGCCGGCAAUGCGAUCGCCGCGCUCGCUUCGAAGUUCGCCUCCGGAGGUAAAUUGCAGCGAGCCAAGCAUCGAUGUUGGCGUUUCCUCCCACACGCGCUCUCGCCGGCAGCUCUCGUCUUCCCUUGGUUUGGACCCCGCUGCUGCUCCGCCAGAUCUGCGUGAAGCAAAUCCUCCCGCCAAUGCUCUUUAGGACAACGAUAACAACCGCGCGAGUGUUUUAAUUCCGUUCCGUUGUUUUUGUGUGGAUUUUGGUUCGGAUUUGAUUUCGUUUAGUGUUUUAGGGUUCGUCCGUUUAGUGUUUCUAGGAUUUUUGAACUAGCAUAUCCUGUGUUAGGGUUACAUGUCAACGCUAUUUUUUCAGUUGCGAUAUUGCAAAAGUUUUAGAUGAUAACAUUCAUGUUACCAUUUUAUUUCGAGAUGUUUCAUCAAUUACUUAUCAAUGUUGCUACAGAUUUUUUGAUAUGUUGCAAUAGUUUGGAUGAUGUUUAGACGUUAACAUUCAGUUCAUCUUUUUAAUUUUCAGUUGUUUCAUUAACUAUUUAUCAAUGUUGCACCUGCUUUACUUUGAUGUUGCAAUAGUUUACAGCAUGUUUAGGAUAUAACAUUCAGUUCACCUUUUUAAUUAUGAUGUGUUUCAUUAAUUAGUUAUCAAUGUUGCACCUGCUUUUUUGAGAUGUUGCAAAAGUUUAGAGUAUUACAUUGAGUUCACCUUUUUUAAUUCUGAGAUGUUUCAUUAAUUAUUUAUCAAUGUUACACUUGCUUUUUUGAAAUGUUGCAUAUCUGUACAGGUUAUAUGUUGUAUCAAUCAGUUAACAUAUUCAUUUUUGAAUUGUUUCAUUAAUUUAAUAUCAAUGUGGUACUUGCUGAAUAGGGAUGUUUCAAAGAAUUUUUAGAUUCUGAAACAUUAAAUUUUCAUGUACCAUUCAAUUAUAUGACUGAUACUUUGUUUUAUUUAUUGUUAGCAGUUAAGGUGCAGUUAAGAAAAGAGGAGGAACACUUCAAGACUAGAUUCUCAGUUCAUAGAAUUCGCGACCUACUUCCUAAUCUUGAGGAUCAUCAGAAGCAGUGGAUCAAUAAAGCUGGCUUUGGUGCUCUGUUGACGUUAGCUGAGUUUUCAUUGCCAGUGAAGCUUGUUAAAUGGAUGCUUAAACAUGUGGACCCUUUGCUCCGGGAGUUUAGAUACAGGAACAAGGUCAUUGUAUUCAACCGUGACCUUGUUUGCAUUCUUGGGCUUCAAAAUAGCAUCAUUCCUUUGAGAUUAUCUGGUGACUCGGAAGAUGUCAAGAAACUUCGGGAAGUCUACAAGGAUGGUGAUAGAGCUAAAAUUGCAAAGUGUAAAGAGAUUGUGCAAUCUAGCAAGGACAAGGAUUCCUUUGUGAGGCCUUUUUUCUCUGUUGGCUCUAGGGACUAUCUACACUCUAGGAACAGGCAACUAUGUCAGCCUCAAAUAUCUUCAUAGUCUAGUUGAUAUUUCUGAAAUCAGCACCUUUGAUUGGGCGGGGCAUAUGUUGGAUGAGCUGAUGAAUGAAGUGAAGAAGUACCAUAAAUUUACUCCUGAUAGGCUUGACAAAGACCACCAGAUGGGAUCUUGUCUAAUUAUUCUAGCGGUAUGGUUAUUUAAUGCCUUUCUUUCAGCAUUUUAAGUUCUUUUUUCCUGCCCAUUCAAUAAUUCUAUGAUCAUAUUCUUAUAUUCUCUCUUACAAGGAUCAUCUUAUCAAAUUUCAGAUUGCUUACAUGGACCAUCUUGAUUUACCAACUGAUCGAGGAGGCCAUCAAUUGAAUUACAAUCUGCCUCGUAUCUGCAAUGUUUCAAACAUAGACUUUGAUUUUAUCUUGGCAGUUGAUAAAAACAUGCUGGCAUUGGGCAAUACAUUUGGAAAACUCCCUGUAUGUUCUUUUCACAAUCUUUUCUUCAUUCUUUUUGCCUUCUUUUUCAUUGCUUUUUGCCUUCUUAAAAAUUUUCAUGCUUCUUUUCAUGAUCAGUUUCGCGACUUCUCCCGUACUCCUUAUGGUGGUGCCCCAAUUGUACAAGAACACCCUCUUGCUGUGCACGUGGACGAGCUGCUGAGGAGCCGCUGGACGUGAUCGACUACGUACGACUACGUUGUUCGACUACGUACGACUACGUGAUCGUCUUCACUGCACCGACGCAUAUCUACAUCUUCCGCACCAGUAGUGCGUCGAGUGGUAAUCCCGUGAUCCUUAUACGGCAGUUCUUCCUGGUUAUACGCGGUAGAAAUUUUGAUUUGCGCUAGCGUAGCCUACCUCGUAUCCCAACAGUGGUAUCAAGAGCCUUAGCUGCUUAGUUUUGGAUUCGGGAUGUGUGCAUAUGGAGAUAUGCGAGUUUUCUGUUUGAUCUAUGUCCUGGUUUCGUGCCCUUGCUGCAAUGGUAGUGUAACGACAUACUCCUACCGGUCGGUUUCCGCCAUCGGAGUUAAGUGAUACACGUAAAUCCAGUUGCAGUGAGGGAAGAUCAAUAUGAUUGGUCGAAUCGAGAUCCAGGGUCAUACGCCAGGCGCAUUAGAUGUGCAAUGGUAGAUGGGAUCUACUGCCGGGGUCGGGAUUUUGCCGUAUGCGCAUGCUUCGGUAAAUCAGCCGUAACUUUUCGGUAUGAUCUCGGAUCGGGGCGAUUUCUAUACGAAAAUUGAUCUACAGAAAAAGUUACACGUGAAUUUCAACCGCUUCGCCGUUUUCGGCGAAAUUAGAUUUGCCAAAUUCGGCUUGGAAGAUGGAGUUUCAGGCCUCCGAAGUUUGGAACGUUAGGACGCCUAACUCUCUUUUGCAGGAUGUAUCUUGUGAUCAGUAUGGCCCCCUUGUGUAUGUGAUGCAUAUGUGUAACUAAUUCGUGACCUGCGUGUCGCGCGUACGGCAACACGGCAGGAGCCAUAUGUGUUGUCACUUUAUUGUAUUUAAUGGUCUGCGUACCAAUCUGUGAUGAUCCAAGCAACUAUGUAAUCUUCAUUACUAGAUUCUUUACUAGCUAUUAGGCGUAAUAGCAUGCUCUAGUUCUUGGAGGACUCAUCACCAGGAGGAUGGCGCACAUGGAACAUGGAGAUGGAGAUCACCAUGGUGAACAGGUUCUAUGGAGAUGGAGAUCACCAUAUGAAAACGGGCCAUACUGUGUCACAAGCUGUGUGAAUGCUAUUCUGUUUAUGUUUUACUUUCUGCAUGCUGUGAUGUUAGAAGUAGAACGAUCCCUCGCAAAUUUUAAGUUAGUAUGCCCUCCCAACUAAAACUUGCACCGUCCCAUGUCUUGUACAAUUAGUGGUGGGUCUAUGAAAUUAGGGUGCCACUAGUUUUCCUUGACUAGAUGGGUUUGUGUCGGACACUUACACGCAUAAGGGUUGGUUUGCUUAACGAGGUCAUCUUAACGGUUAAAGACCUUGGGGCAUAAAGGUUGGGCGCCGAGACAUAGAGAUGUCACCCAACAACAGGAGUCAUAUGUGAUAUGAUUAGCAAAAGUUGCUUACCGAUCUACCUCGUUUGCUAGCGGUGAUGCUAAAGCUCACUAGUAGACUUGUUAGUUGUGGAUCCUGAAUCACUAAGUUUCAAUAGAGGGAUAUUGAUUUUAGUGGGAGUAGAUUCUGUUAAAAUAGUUUAAUGUAAUUUGCUCUAUCAUGGAUACGUUUGUCUUAGUGUAUUUUGCAUUACUUUUGUUGUAGAUUAAAUGGCACCUAGCAACACCACCACAUCGUUUGCUUUGCGUUCGGUACUUGAGAAGGACAAGUUGAAUGGAACAAACUACUCGGAUUGGAUCCGCAACCUGAGAAUUGUUCUCAGGGCUGAGAAAAAGGAAGAUGUUCUAGACAACCCACUACCAGAAGAACCUGCUGAGGAUGCACCCGCUGCUGCUAAGAAUGCUUACAAGAAAGCAUGUGAUGCUAACCUUGAAGUAAGCUGCCUUAUGCUUGCUUGCAUGGAACCCGAGCUGCAAAUGCAGUUCGAAACAAACCAUGAGGCGCACGAUAUGAUCGUGGCGCUUAGAGACAUGUUCCAAACACAGGCCAGGACUGAAAGGUUCAAUGUGUCUAAGGCCUUUGUUGAGAACAAGCUAGCAGAAGGCGCAGCAGUAGGACCACACGUGAUCAAGAUGGUUGGUUACACUCAACGGUUGGAGAAGCUAGGCUUCCCACUGGGCCAAGAGUUGGCCACUGAUUUCAUUCUUUCCUCUCUUCCGCCUAGCUAUGGGAACUUCAUCUCGAACUACCAUAUGCAUGGGACGGAGAAGGGAUUGAAUGAGCUGUGUGGUAUGCUCAAGACAGCAGAGGCUGACAUCAAGAAAAGCGCUAGUACCAGCCAUGUGAUGGCGAUACAGAACAAGCCCAGCUUUAAAAAGAAGGGCAAUUCUUGGAAGAAGAAGGGCAAGGCUGGAACGUCCAAGCCAAACCCACCGCCCAAGGUUAAAGCUGGACCUGGACCUGCUCCAGAUAAAGAGUGCUUUUACUGUCAUGAACUUGGUCACUGGAAGAGAAACUGCAAGCAGUACCUAGCUUCGUUGAAGAACGACGGAAGUAAGAGUACUUCUACCUCAGGUACGCUUGUUGUUAAUGUUAUAGACAACAUAUUUCUCGCUGAUACAGUUAUUAAUUCUUGGGUAUUUGAUACCGGAUCGGUUGCUCAUAUUUGCAAUUCGAUGCAGGGAAUGAUAAGAAGUAGAAGCGUGGAAAGAGGAGAAGUUGAUUUCCGCGUGGGCAAUAAUGCAAGAGUUGCUGCUUUGACCGUCGGGACGAUGCAACUCCACCUCCCGUCAGGAUUUAUUAUGGAUUUGAAUAAUUGUUAUUUUGUUCCUAGUUUAAGUCGAAACAUUUUGUCUCCUUCAUGCUUGAUGAAGGAUGGUUAUUCAUUUGCGAGUGAAAACAAUGGUUGUGUGAUCUCUAAGAAUAAUAUGUUUAUGGCUUUUGCACCCAUUGUGAAUGGAUUGUUUGUUUUAAAUCUUGAUGGUUCACCUGUCUGUAAUGUAAGUGCUAAAAGGCCUCGGCCUAAUGAUUUGAGUCCUACCUACUUGUGGCAUUGUCGUUUGGGUCAUAUAAGUGAAAAGCGCAUGAAGAAGCUCCAUUCUGAUGGACUUCUAACUUCGUUUGAUUUUGAAUCAUACGAGACAUGUGAGGCUUGCUUGCUAGGCAAGAUGACCAAGACGCCUUUCACAGGAUUUCCUGAGAGAGCAGUAGACUUGUUGGAACUCGUACAUAGUGAUGUAUGCGGACCAAUGAGCAUGACGGCUAGAGGAGGAUUCCAAUACUUCAUAACUUUCACUGAUGAUUUUAGUAGAUAUGGCUAUGUCUACUUGAUGAGGCACAAGUCUGAAACCUUUGAAAAGUUCAAGGAAUUUCAGAAUGAAGUUGAAAAUCAGCGUGGCAAGAAAAUUAAGGCCUUACGAUCUGAUCGUGGAGGCGAGUAUUUGAGCCACGAGUUUAGCAAUCAUCUAAAGAGUUGCGGAAUUGUUCCACAACUUACGCCGCCUGGAACACCUCAGAGAAACGGUGUGUCCGAGCGACGUAAUCGAACUUUGUUAGACAUGGUUCGAUCAAUGAUGAGCCAGUCGGACCUACCGUUGUCAUUUUGGGGAUACGCUCUAGAAACAGCAGCUUUCACACUAAAUAGGGUACCAUCUAAAUCCGUAGUUAAGACACCAUAUGAGAUAUGGACUGGAAAGGUUCCCAGUUUGUCUUUUCUAAAGAUUUGGGGAUGUGAAGUGUUUGUCAAGCGACUUCAGUCGGACAAGAUCACACCCAAGUCGGAUAAGUGCAUUUUCGUGGGAUAUCCAAAGGAAACUUUGGGAUAUUAUUUCUACAACCGAUCAGAAGGCAAAGUGUUUGUCGCUCGGAACGGGGUUUUCCUAGAGAAAGAGUUUCUCAAAGGAGAAAAGAGUGGAAAGACAGUGCAUCUUGAAGAAGUUCAAGAUGAGCCAAUCGGGCAAGAAUCAAUGAGUGAUGCUAACGUAGCAGAACAAGUUGAGAUACCCAUGGCAAGAGAAGCACCGCCACAACCACGAAGGUCGGCAAGGCUCCGCGAAAUGCGAGAAAUAUUAUUGUUGGACAAUGAUGAGCCUGCGACAUAUGCAGAAGCAAUGAUGGACCCAGACUCCGAAAAAUGGCAGAGUGCCAUGCAAUCCGAAAUAGAGUCCAUGGGAGACAAUCAAGUUUGGAACUUGGUUGACCCGCCUGAUGGUGUUAAAGCCAUAGAGUGCAAGUGGAUCUAUAAGAAGAAAAAGGACAUGGAUGGAAAUGUUCACAUCUAUAAAGCACGACUUGUCGCAAAAGGUUUUCGACAAGUUCAAGGAGUUGACUACGACGAGACCUUCUCGCCCGUAGUGAUGCUUAAGUCCAUUCGGAUUAUUCUAGCUAUAGCUGCAUAUUUCGAUUAUGAGAUAUGGCAGAUGGAUGUCAAGACAGCUUUCCUGAAUGGAAACCUAGCUGAGGACGUGUAUAUGAUACAGCCCGAGGGUUUUGUCGAUCCGAAAAAUGCUGGAAAGGUAUGCAAGCUUCAGAGAUCCAUUUAUGGAUUGAAGCAAGCAUCUAGGAGUUGGAACAUUCGUUUUGAUGAAGUGGUCAAAGGGUUUGACUUCACCAAGAACGAAGAAGAGUCUUGUGUUUACAAGAAGGUUAGUGGGAGCUCUGUAGUAUUUCUAAUCUUAUAUGUGGAUGACAUAUUAUUGAUUGGAAAUAACAUUCCUAUGCUUGAGUCCGUAAAGACUUCACUGAAAAAUAGUUUUUCGAUGAAGGACUUAGGGGAAGCGGCAUAUAUUCUGGGCAUUAAGAUCUAUAGAGAUAGAUCGAGAAGGCUUAUAGGUUUGAGCCAAGAUACUUAUAUUGACAAAGUGUUGAAGCGGUUCAGCAUGGAAGAGGCAAAGAAAGGGUUCUUGCCUAUGUCACAUGGCAUACAUCUCAGCAAGACUCAGUGUCCUUCGACUGCUGAUGAGCGGGAUCGCAUGAGUAGAGUACCAUAUGCCUCGGCUAUUGGAUCUAUCAUGUAUGCAAUGAUAAGUACUCGCCCAGAUGUUUCAUAUGCGCUAAGUAUGACAAGCAGACACCAAUCUGAUCCAGGUGAGAGUCACUGGACAGCGGUGAAAAACAUUCUUAAGUACUUGAGAAGGACUAAAGAUAUGUUCCUCGUCUAUGGAGGUCAGGAGGAGCUCGUUGUAACAGGUUACACCGAUGCUAGUUUCCAAACCGACAGAGAUGAUUCAAAGUCACAAUCAGGAUUUGUGUUCACACUGAAUGGUGGUGCUGUUAGUUGGAAGAGUUCCAAGCAGGAGACGGUGGCCGAUUCUACGACGGAAGCCGAGUACAUCGCGGCUUCGGAAGCCGCGAAGGAAGGUGUUUGGAUUAGGAAUUUCCUCAUUGAGCUUGGUGUGUUCCCGAAUGCGUCCAGCCCAUUGAAUCUCUACUGUGAUAACAAUGGGGCAAUUGCGCAAGCAAAGGAGCCAAGGAACCACCAGAAGAACAAACACGUAAUGCGGCGAUUUCAUCUCAUUCGAGACUUCAUUAACCGGGGUGAGAUCAAGAUAUGCAAAAUACACACGGAUCUGAACAUUUCUGAUCCGUUGACAAAACCACUCCCGCAGGCUAAGCAUGAUGCGCAUGUAAGAGCUAUGGGUAUUAGGUACCUUCUAGAUUGACUCUAGUGCAAGUGGGAGACUGUUGGAGGUAUGCCCUAGAGGCAAUCAUAGAGAUGAUGAUAUUCCAUUUGUAUCCAUGAUUUGCAUAUUGUGUUCAUUGAAUAUCCAUUAAAGGCUACUUGAAUUGAUUUGCAAUUAUGUGAAUUGUAUGUGAAACUCUUUACUUGUAUGGUUAUUCUAAAGUUGUCCCUAGUCGGAGUUCAUGUGAGGACACACAUGAAUAUUAGACUAGCACAUGUAUUAGUUGAUGACUAUGUUUCACAAGUCAUGGACAUGGAGAUGUUGAACUAAUAAUGUGGACACAUGUGGAGACAUGUGUUAGGACUGACCCAACACGAGAAGUAGUUCUCUCUUUAAACAACAUAUACGCUUUGUCCUUAGACCUGAGAUUGUCGCAUGUAUUCUAGAUGUGGAUCGACCUACUUAGGGGCUAUCAAACGCUACGUCGUAACAGGGUAGUUAUAAAGGUAGCUUUCGGGUUUGUCAAGAAGCAUGCUAUGAGACAUGGUCAAUCAAGAUGGGAUUUGCCCCUCUCUGAUUGAGAGUGAUAUCUCUGGGCCCCUCGAGUGAUCGGAUCCGAAAAUGCAUGGCCAUGCUACGUACGGUUAAGAGUUAACCUACAAAGGGAUUCCGAAUCACAGGAUCGAGAAAGAGCGGUCAGCUUGAAGCUAGACCAAAUAUCGUGAGGCAAAGGGAAUAGCAUGUAUAUUAUGUUGUGAUGGUUCGUCUGAUAUGAUCUUCGUAUGCGUAUAGGAGUUGGCACGUCUUGCUAGAGGCCGCUACCGACUAUUGGGCCGAGUAGGAGUACUCGGGCCAUGUCUAUACGUAUCCGAACCCAUAGGGUCACACACUUAAGGGGCUGGAAGCCCAAUUCGGAUCUGAUCCGAGUUGGAUUAGGUUUAGGAGUGCUAAUGGGCCUCGGAUCCAGAGGCCCAUCAGGAACCUCUAUAAAUAGAGGGGUGGGGGCGCCCUAGGGUUUACACCUUUUGGCUGAACACACUUGCCGCGCCUCCCACGCCCUCGCCUGUUGCAACUCGCGGAUCUAGCAAUCCGGCUUGCGACGCUUCCUCCCUGCACGUGUGGAUACCUUGGAGGUGUUGCGCCUGCAACACUUGGACGAGCCAUCGACGAGCCGCCGACGAUCCACGACGAGCCGACGACGAGCCGCGGCACCGGAGGCGAUCUUGCUGUGCACGUGGACGAGCUGCUGAGGAGCCGCUGGACGUGAUCGACUACGUACGACUACGUUGUUCGACUACGUACGACUACGUGAUCGUCUUCACUGCACCGACGCAUAUCUACAUCUUCCGCACCAGUAGUGCGUCGAGUGGUAAUCCCGUGAUCCUUAUACGGCAGUUCUUCCUGGUUAUACGCGGUAGAAAUUUUGAUUUGCGCUAGCGUAGCCUACCUCGUAUCCCAACACACCCUGCCCCUGCUGUUGGAAUUCCUGCUCCUGCUGCCACUGAGGAAGCCCCUGACCCAGCUGCCACUGAGGAAAUCCCUGCUGUCAGCUCUUUAGAUGAAUGGCUGCAUCAACUACCAUCCAGUAACAAUCUUCUUCAUCAGGUGAAAAAACAUGUUACAUUUUCAGUUUCUGAUUGUGUCAUCUUAUUAUACUCUAUGUUGCAAUUCAUUCUAUGCUCAAACACUUUUAAUGUUGUUGUAGUAUAUCUUUAAUGUUGCAACAAUACAAUAUAAGUGUUGCAAUAAACUUAUGUCUCCUUCAAUAUGAUUAACAUGAAUUCUGGACCCAUAGUUUGGUUUCAUUUAAAUUUGUGUUGUUGUAGUAGUUUUUUUAAUGUUUCAGAAUCAACAAAUAGGUGUUGCAGAAAAAUAUAUCUGUUUCACAAAAUAUAAUAUGUUUCAGCUUGUUUUCACCAAUGUUUCAGUUCACAUUCUUAUGGUGUUGCAUGUUAACUUUCUGUGUUUUUCAUAUUUUUACUUUCAUCCCAUCAUGUUGCAAUGUCCCAAUACACUUCUUGCUAAUACUAUUUUAUUUAUUUUAUAAUUCUAUAUAAUAGACCCCUCUCGAGUAUCAGAAUGUUGCUUCUCAUUACUCUAAACUUGUGAAGCAAGAUGUUCUCCAACUUGCCGAUGCUAUCUCUACAACCAUCAGUGCACAAAUUAAAGAUAAGGUCAUGGCUAUUUGGAGGAGGCGUCACAUUGAAAUGUUGGGCAAGAUGGCAGAUCUAGCUAACAUGGUGAGGAAUGAUGGUGUUGAAGCAGGGGUUUCCACCUCUAAUGUUGAUGCAGCAGCUCCUUCCAUGUGUGGUGGUUCAGAUGGGCAAACUUCCAAUGCUGCUGCCACAACAGAUGCAUCAACUAGCACUUUAGGAGCCCCCACCAGUGCUACUGGUUCACCUGUUGACAAGAGAAGCAACGAUUCAAGUUAUCUUGAUGACAUCCCUUCAUUUGAUCUCUUGUCCAGCCAAGGAAUUGAAACAGAUUGUUUGACCCCAGCGGCAGCAGGAUCUAAUUUGGGUGACGUUUUUUUUACCUUUUUUGUCUCCAUUUUCAAUCCUUUUUUCUUACACAUAUUUGAGUAUUUUGUUAUUCUUGUGUUUGCAGCUGAUCUCACCAUUGAUGAGACUAUUGUUAACAAGCCUGGGUCAAGUACAUUUGAUAAGAAAAACAGGAGGAAGAGGGCUGCCAUCCAUCUGAACCAAGGAAAGAAAUUGAAGAGGAUUAAGUUAGAUGAUGAAAUUGUUACUGCAUAUAACAAAUAUCUCAGCAAGAGGAUAAUGAGGAAAGUGCCGAUCAAUCCAAAUGCGAAUAAUGAUGAACAAGAACAACCGUGAGCAACUCUUUAUGUCUUUCUCAAUGUUCCUUAUGUAUGUUUCACAUGUUUCAGUAGGUCUAGUUAGAUGUUUCAAGUAUGUAGUACUCAUGUUACAGUAGUUCAAUUUUUUAUCCAAUGUUCCUUAUGUAUGUUUCACAUGUUUCAGUAGGUCCAGUUAGAUGUUUCAAAUGUGUAGUACUCAUGUUACACCAGUUCAUUUUUUCCCCAAUGUUUCUUCUGUAUGUUUCACAUGUUUCAGUAGGUCUAGUUAGAUGUUUCAAAUAUGUAGUACUCAUGUUACAACAGUUCAAUUUUUCCCCCAAUGUUCCUUCUGUAUGUUUCACAUGUUUCAGUAGGUCUAGUUAGAUGUUUCAAAUCCUAAUUUAGUUUUUUUUUAUCCCAGCCCACCAUUUGUUCGAAUUGAUGGCUUCCAUUUUACUUAUGAUGAAUUCUAUGGAUCCUUCAAGCAAAGGGGGGAAAUUAAUAACCAUGUGAUGGCUUUAUGGUCCUAUGAAUUCAACAUUGAAGAAGAUGAAUUGCGUGAGAAGGAUAAUAACAUCGUUAAGAAAUUUGCUUUAUCUACUGUUCUCACUGUAAGAUUUGAAUUCUGUUUUGCAAUUUUUUAUUACCAUCAUUUGUGCCCUACAUUCAUUUUGAUAGUUUCUAACUUUUUUUUCAAGGACAAGCUAAAAAUUGAACAUGAUAAUUUCAUACAAAACAGCUGCCACACGGCUUUGACAAAGUUGAACAAGUCUUGGGAUCUCUCAAAAAUGGAUCCGGUACUGUGUUGCACAAUUAAGUUGUCUUUCAUUUCCCAUUCUUUUUUUUCUUAUCUACUUCUUUUAGUUGUUUUUCCCUAUUGUUGAAGAAGGGCAUUGGGUACUUGUCAGUGUCAACAUGUUUCUAAAGGAAAUUUGCUGGUUCAAUUCUCUUGGGGGAUCUCGUGAUACGAAAUAUUUUGUUUCUGCCAAGAAUGUGGUCAGUACUCUCAAACUUGCAUCUCUUUUUUUUGUUAUUAAUAGCCUCUGUUACUUGAUGCUUUUUCAUCUUAUGGUGUGUCAAUAAUUGAAAAUCAAUGUUGCACCUGAUGAUUUGCGAUGUUGCAGAACUAUAGAGGUUGUAGAUUGUAACAGACAAUUAACCUUUUAGAAUUUGCGAUGUUACAAUAGUUAAUUAUCAUUGUGGCAGAUGUUGAUUUGAAAUGUUUCAAUAGUAUAUAACGUACCAUUUGGUUCUAUUUUUAGGUCACCAAUUUUUCAAAAGCAUGUUUACAAGCUGGGGUGCUAAACAAAGACAUCUCUCUGUUUGAUUGGAAAUAUCCCACGGACUACCCGCAUCAAAAAUCUUUGUAAGUUUUUCAUCAUUCAUGUGCUUACAUAAAGAAUUAUUCAUGCAGUUUUUUCAUCUUUUCUCACCAUGUUUAUUUUGAUAACCCAAUUCUUUUUGUUUUCAGGCAUGAUUGUGGGUUAUACACAAUGCUAUAUAUGGAGUCUUGGAAUGGGAAGAAGAUGGACACCACAUUUGAGCCAGUAUGUCUUAUUGCAAUGUGGCUACCUAAUUCUUUUACCCAAAUACAUGAUGUUACUUCUGCAAUUUUUUGGUACCUAAUUCUGUUUUCUUUUUCCCUUUUUUAGCACAUGAUUGCAAACUAUAGGAAAUUGGCUGUAGGCAUUCUCCUACUUUCUCCAAGAAAUGAUAUCCUAACAAGCGAGUUUGUUGAAAAGUAUUGCAACUAGAAGUAGUGACAUCAUGUUUCGUUGUGCAAUAUAGGAGUUUAGGUCUCUGUAUAUAGCUAACAAUCAUCUUAGAAAUAUGGAUGUAUGGAGUAUUCAGGAUUGUGGGAUACCAAUUAUUUUCCUCAGCUUAGUUUUUUUAUAUGUUGCCGUAGUGCACUUUAUAUGUUGCGAAUUCUGCUUUACUAUGUUGCAGAAAUGUUGGCUUUUAUUUUCUUGUUUGCAACAUUCAUGGAUAACUGAUGAAACAUCAUUAACUUACUGUUGCAACAUAUAUAAUAAAUCUUUUGUUUUCUUACCUUCUUCCUUGUUUUAUAUCUUCAAUUGGUGUAGUAUGUUGCUGUACUAUAAUUUUAAUGUUGCAAACUCUACUGAACCAUGUUGCAAUAAUGUUGUCAUGCCAUUUUUAUUUUGCAACAAGUGUUCACAACAUUUGAAACACCAAACCACUGAAUUUGCAACAUCAACUGUCGCAAUAAUACAUCACAUCUUUUUUUUAUGCCACACCACAUGCAGUUUAAUUCAUCUCCAGCUCAUGGUCUAAUACCAAUACCACAAGGCUCAAUCUCAUACAUGGGCAUAACAGCGGCAUCACAAAAAAAAUUUAGUAUAAAUGAGACAUAAUGUUGCAAUUCAUAAAAUGAAAUGUUGCACUACUUUCUAAUGCAUGUUUCAGCUCAUUCUAAUAAAGGAAUAAUUAAAAAUUCAGAGCUUCAGCUCUGUUUCUUUGAGAUCCCUUGCAAGUGCCUCCGCCUUGGCCAUGUACGCGCAAGUUUGUACACUAUGACCAUCUUCAAAGCAAUAUGAGCAUGGUGGGAUUUUUUGGGCCGUCUUCUUUUCUUUUGCCUUCUUUUUCAUUGCUUUUUCCUUAGCUUGUGCCACUACUGACUUGAACCUUUCCACCUUCUCCUUUGGUCUCCCUUUACUUUUUGUUCUUGUUGGAUUCUUUACCAUGACAACAGGAGGAGUUUUAGACUGUUGACCUGUUGCAACAUUGGACGCUUCAUCUUGUUGCAUUUCUUGUGACCCCCUUACUAUCCUGACUGCUUGUACCAAUGUAUCUAUCCUAGCUGAAGCUACAAUGUACUUUUCAGGACCCAAACAAGCUUCAGCUGCUAGUGACGUCAUUUUUUUGCACAAUGCAUUGUACCUUAGCUUGCUUGUGGUUGGGACACCAAAUGCUAGUUCUGUAGAGAGGCGUUCCGGUAUCAUUAUAGUCACUUCCUUUGACCAUCUUCUAAGUAGAUACUUCUCUGGAAUUUUUUCGACAUCCCUGUUUGUGAAUACUUUUAGUAUGUGAGGACAUAAGAGGCCAUCAUGGUCAAACAUGUUGCAAGAGCAUGUAUAUGACGCUGCAUCUUUAUCAAUGGUGACCAUACGGACUCUAGUUGAAUUUGGGUGCACAAUUUGAAUGGACCAACCCUGGUCAUCACUUUCAACAGGCCCUACCUUGUAUCUUGUAGAAUCAUGCAACAACCCUUGAAAUUUACCAAAGACUUCAUCGGUGUAGAAUGCAGCAGCUUGCUUCUCAAAAGCAUACCUUCCCCAUAGUGGUGGAUCUGAAAUCUCUCCCUUGCAACGCUCCUUAUUUUCACUUUCUGCCCUGGUGUCCAUGAUGUAAUCAUAUUGUGUUAUAAAUUGCAACAUUGAGUCCUGAGGGUGAACAACUUUCUCAAACAAUGAAUUCAUGCUUUUCGAUCUUCCUGUUGUGCCUAUGAAGGGGGAGAAGUACUUUCUGAAGUGUGCAGGUGCCCACAUCCUCCUUGUACCAGACAUACUUUGAAAGAAUUCAUUUUCCUGCAAGUGGUAUUUGUCCUCUAUGCUUGCCCACAACAUCUCGAAUUCUUCUGGUGUAUCAGUUCUGUUCACACAGUAGUCAAACUCCUUUGCAAAGUCUUCUUCCUCACUAAUAAGCCAAGCAAGCUUAUCAUUAGCCUUGCUCAGGACAUGCCACUUGCAACAUCUGUGUGUUGCGUUAGGGAACACUAUUGCUAUUGCUGCUUUUAUUGCUUUAUCCUGGUCUGUCAUUAUGUUGGUUGGUUCACGCCCACCCAUUGCUCCCUUCAACCUUUCUAGCACCCAAACAAAUGUUUCCGUUGUUUCAUCUGGCAACAUUGCACAUCCAAGCAGUAUGCUAUGCAAAUGGUUAUUUAUCCCAACAAUUGGUGCAAAAGGCAUGUCGUAUCUGUUGGCGCAAUAUGUUAUGUCAAAAAAAUGCAAUUUCCAAAACUCUUGUACAGCUCUCUAGUCCUCCCAUCUACCCAAAACAAUCCUCUAACAACAUUAUUAUCAUCUAUCAUUGUUGCAUAAUAGAAGGAAGGACUUUCAGCUUGUUGCUUUUGAAAAUACUCUAAUGUUGCAUCCAUAUACCUGUAGGUGAGACCUCCUCUCAAGUGUGUCCUCAUGUUUGAAACAUCCUUGCUGCUGAAAGUAAGGUUGCCAAGUCCCCCACGAAAAUCAGCAAGCUCCCCCAUGAUCUGUGUUGUGCUAAUAUUUCUAUGGUGUAGUGUUUUCAGCAGCUCAUAAUCAGCCCACGAGAUGCUUCGGUGGGACCUCAAGUGUUUCCUAACCCCAAUCGCCUUGAUCAUGGGAUGAGUAUGGUCAGGUUGCAUUACAAUCACUCUCCACCUCGAAUUUCUCAAGCCAACCGCCAUAUGAGCUUUGCAAUCCAACUUUUUGAUAGUGUUGUGCUUCCUUGUUGCCGUGGUAAGCACAGCUGUUGCUACUCUUUUUUUCGAUCCCACUAGUGUUGCAGUGUCAUUUGUUGAUGUGCUCGCUGAUGUGUUUUCCUCUCCAUCAUCUUCUCCAUCAAUAGCUGGCUUCCUAGCAUGAGAACACUUCCACUCCUUUCUGAUCAGCUCCUUUGUGACGUUGCUAUUUCUUGAAGAAGCCACUCUUAUGCUGAAAUCCAACUUCAUGGCAUACUCAUUGUAAACCCGCUUUGCUUCCUAUAUCGUGUCAAAUUCCAUCCCGACUUUCGGCACAAUAAGCUGUGAGCAUACGAUGUCUUCAUCCUCAUGGUAGACCUCUUCAUUUGCACCAACUUGUACUGAAACAUAUUCACUUGAGUGUGUUGUUAUGCUCGCAACAGGAACCAAUGCUCCAUCCCCCUGCAAAUAAAUGUUGCAGUUAGUGUUACUAGCGAAAUCAAUGUUCAGAUGUUGCAAAUACUGUACAUGAAAGUAAGAUGCAACAUUCAGUUAGCACAUACAAUUUUUGAUGUUUCAAUAACUGAUUUUCAAUGUGGCACAUGCUAUCAUUAGAUGUUGCAACACUUAUAUGUAACAUUCAGUUAACCCAUGAGCAUUUUGAGAUGUUUCAAUAACUGAUUUUCAAUGUGGCACAUGCUAUCAUUAGAUGUUGCAAAAUUGUAUAAGAUUCUGUCACAUCUAGUGUUUCAAACGAAAUCAUACCUGCCGUUUCUGGAGACUCGAUUGGGAUGCCAAUCCCCCAUGGACGCUGCUCGAAAGACCUGGAGACGGGUGUUGAAGUGAAUUAUCACACUUGCUCGAAGAAUUCAAUGCAACAUUUAGGGAUUUCGAGCAACAAUGGGGGGCGGCAUACCUGGUAGCGUGUUGAGGUCAAUCAUCUGUAGAUCUGAGGGGUUCCAAGCAACAAUGGGGGGCGGGUGGCCACCAUGUGGUUGAUCUGGACGGGGGAGUUCGAUUUUUUUGAAGGAUAUGUGCCAUCUUCACUCGUCGCGGCGGAUCUGGGCGGCGCCGCCGGCGCAUCUGGGUGGCGGCGCGAAGCUGGGAGCUUCGCUCCUGUCCCGACCCGCGUUUAGGAGUUGACGCCAGGGUGCUAUUUUUCUAUGGUUGGUGCGGACUUGUCCCGAUCUCCUUGUGUUUCAUCUGACGGCUGACACGUAUUGAAUCCGACGGUGGAGAGUGCGUCCGAUUUUUGCGCCCGGAACGGAUGUCCGGGCGCUAGUAGUUCCGCAGGUUUAUUAGCUCUCGGUUUGAUUUAGCUUGGCACCCCUCCCCCCGAAGGAAACAAAGUAACCAUUGCUGUGAAAUGCCAAACACCGUAUGAUGUCCCUGGAGAGACCAAAGUGUAGCAGUGCAUCUCAAAGGCCAAGACUUGUUCCUUGACCAAAGAAUAUAAUAUUGCCCAGAGACGUGAAUCAUGUACAUGUGUAACACGUAUUGAAAUGUCACUUAAUUGGACACUAUGCCCUUAUAAAGGUGCUAUGGGGAAUUUGGGCUUUGGAUUAGUCAUUGUUCAUAAACUCAAUUGAUGGGUCUCUUUCCCCAAAAAUUAAUUCCUUUCUCUGCUCCCCUCUGUAACAGUUUUUCAAGAUGCUUUACCCAAACCCUAUAUGUGUAAUCGUCAUGAAGAGAUUAAUUGUCACGAAGAAAUUAAUAACAAUAGAAAAGGAUAAGACAUCAUCACUAGUGUGGCAAAUCAUUUUUAUUUUAAAACAGGAUGCCCAAAACGAGGCAUCUGUAUAUUUUUAAAACUGUGGGAUCUUCAGACUGGGUUUUAAUAUGCUAUAAUGAAGCUUGGCACCUUGUAUGCGUAGAUAUCAGUCUAAUAUAUAUUCCCGUAUUAUCUGUUAUACACGUCAGUGCCUCUUCAUUCUUAUUAAUUACAAAACAAAACGUCCUAUCAUUGCCAAUCUUGUAAAUGCUAUAUAAACUGGAGAACAAGCGGAACUUCUAGUGUUAUAUGAUAAGUUCGCCCGUUCUGGUCCUAGUCCCAGCUUUGAAGCUCAUUCCAGCAAGAUUACAACCUUGUCCACCCACCAUGGGCAGUUUCGCUCCUGCUGGAGCCAUCGCCGAGAGAUCAAUUGAGAUGGAAGAGGCCACCAUCGUCGAAUGUGGGGUGGAGAGGAAGAAGGAUAAUGCUGCAGCGGCAGGGCUGAUGUGGAAGGCACCGGCAGCCAUGGUGCUGGUGCAGCUGAUCAUCACAGGGCUGACCAUGCUGUCCAAGGUAGUGAUCAGCCGCGGCAUGUUUAUCUUCGCGCUCCAUGCCUACCGCAGCGCCUUCGGUACCAUGUGCAUCCUUCCCUUCGCGAUGUUCCACGAGAGGUGCAUGCCCGAAUAACUCCACACUAGCUAGUUUCGUACAUCCACAUCUUGGUUGCUUUUAUUUCUUCACCACAGUAAAAUAGUAUUAUGGAUCGGUGCCUGGAAAUGUAUUUAAUCCAUUUUCUCAAAAUUGUAGCUUUUUGUGCAAUAAAGCAAUCUAUUUGAUAUUUUUUUUUGAAACUUUGUAAAGACGAAACACUUACACGUGCUCUCUCCUGUGUGAAUACACACACGUAACUCUAUCACUACGAGCAAGUCUGAGAGAGUGGGUUGGCAUAUCUUAAUACUGACGAAAUCACCAUAGACAUUUCACUAUCAUCGUACACUAUCUCGCAUACUACUGAACAAUAGCAUUGCUAAUUUCUGUAAUAAAUCUAGGACUUAGCUACGUCAAAGGACUCGAACUCGGAUGGUCAGUCUUCACCACCAUAAGGAAUCUAACCGACUUAUCUAUGCUUUGAUCCCAACCGUUGAAGAAAUUUGUAAAUGCUAAAUACACUGUUACAUGCAUAUGGAGAAGUACAAGUUCAUUUACAACCAUAAGGUCAAACGGCUCAAAUUUAAAAAUUAGGUGCUUAGUCCAAACGGUUUUUAAAUUUAUAUAUAUUUUAAUUUCUUGCAGGGCGAAGUGGAAGGAGAUGAACUGGCGAUCCUUGGGAUGGAUCUGCCUCAACUCAUGCAUAGGGUACCUACAACAACGCUCAUAUUCAGUUAUAAUCUUUUACUAAUUUCUUCCUCUGUGGUCAUGGAAAAAUAUAGAAUGCCCUGUGAUGUGACUUGGGAGCUGUACUCAACCGAAGUGCCAUGUGAUUAAUUUAGCACACGCAAGCUUGCUUUGUGUCCGCAAAUCUAACAACGCUUUCACGGAGAACUUAGAAAACACUUUAGUCUACUUAUGGGGUCGGUGCAUCCGUCGUAAAAGGGUGGUUGAGUUACGAUACUUGAAAACUUAAAGCCUAUAUGGCUCCUACUAGAGCAAUGCUCAAGAUAAACCUACACAAGUCUAUCUAGAUAUGCUCUAAGGUUUAUCCAGUAUGUAUGCUCAUACUACGUACGUUGGCCCUAUGCAGGUAUACCAAUGUAGACUUUUGCAACUUAGAGCCAACUCUAUCGAGUACUCUUAGAAAUGUAAAAGUGCACAAAAUUGAAACGAUCGACGUUAGAAGAUAAAAAAAAGAGGGGUGCAAACUCGGUGCAAGAAUUUUCCCAUGAUUUUAAUUGGUUGACAAACAGCCACCUCUAAUCAUAUUGUAGCUUCCCGAUUUUUAGAGCAUUUUAAACAUACCAAAGAUUUUUGACCGAAGUCAGCAUAGUCAGCAGGGGAGGCUGCUCCCACAGGGAGUCGAACCCGGUUCUACUAGAUGCUACUCAGGUACUCUAACUAUUAGGCUAGAGGUCCUUUCGCUAAGCAUACCAAAGUUUUGAGGUUUUUUAUUUUUCUCUACAAACUAACUGAUCAUCUUUCUUUUAUUAACUAGGAAAUAUUAAAACCAUAUAAUUUUAAAACCUGCAAGAAAAUCUUACAUUUGUGUUGCAUUUGUUUGCCUCCAUUCUAAACCCUAGAUUCCAUGUAAUCUCUUUUCCUCGGCUUAAAUCUGGAUUUUAUUCGAAUUUAAAUCUUCCAACCAAACAACAAAAACUAUCUCUAAGUCCCAUUUCUGGCACUGGGCCAAAAACCCAUCCACCUUCAUUUGGUCCACAAUAUUUUCUUCUUUUCUUUUUUUCCCGGCCUAGCUCCAACUUCCACCAACUUGCUCAUCUCCAACCUUCCACCAGCCUGCUCAUCGAUCUGUCCAACUGUGUCUUCACCAGUCCUUUGCAUCUCCUUUGGUUCCACCCCCCCCCCCCCCCCCGCCCCCACCCCAACACACAUGUAAAAAUAGCGUUGUCAACAAGUUAUAGCGACGCACUGCAUCCUCCCUCUCAUCUUCCUCGAUGUCACCAGGUUGUCAUGAACUUGCCUUGCACUGCUCCCCUUCCACACUGCUAGAGAAUGCUAGAGAAGAGGCCUUCCAUCCAGCAUUUUUAAUCUCGGUUGUUUUCGGACCUGGGAGUAAAGGACCUUUAGUCCUGGGUCAAAAGGCC
RNAcentral lists this long non-coding RNA (66930 nucleotides) under Setaria viridis. RNAcentral's name for it is "long non-coding RNA (SVIR_LNC009105)". The stretch from base 36265 to 36403 matches the Rfam family "Small nucleolar RNA Z247". The record is from RNAcentral. Lineage: Eukaryota; Viridiplantae; Streptophyta; Magnoliopsida; Poales; Poaceae.